GCAAAAGCUUGAGAUCUAAAACGUUAUGUAGGUGCGACCUCGGUGGUAAUGCCAACAUAUAGGCGAGCUCGUUGAUCUUUUCGAGUAUCCUGAGUGGGCCGAAGAAUCUGGGAUGGAGCUGUGACUACACUAGGAGAUUCCAACCGUUGCCCAAUCAGCUGCUGCAUCUUCCUGAUGGCUUCCACUUGGUCACUGACGUCGUUUGAUGAAAUGGGAGUUGUCAUCAAGAUCGGGGAAGCUACUGCACGUCCAUAAAGCGCCUGGUAUGGAGACAUACCGAUGGUUGAGUGCCGAGCAGUGUUGUAGGCAACACUGCUCCCGUUGAAUGGUGGUACUUGGAACUCGAAAGGUCGGCGCAUAACUCCCUCGACCUGGUCACUGCAGCUCCCAAGACCCGCAAGCUGUCGUCCAUAUCUUCCUGCCGAUCGGAUAUGCACCUUAUCAUCUUCUCUUGUGCUGAUAAAACAUCAAGACUAAACCUUGGUAAAUCCCCUGAAAUCGCCACCUUCGGCCUCCUCUAUGGUGCUGCCAUUGCCCGCCUCACACCAAGGAAGAACAAGGGUAUAUAAAUUCCCUCCCUCCCAUUAUCCACGACCAGUCCAGAGCACCAAAAACUGUGAAAGCGAAACGAAACAUCCCGGCCGCUUUACCUGAUAGCCGACCUCCAACGACUGGUCUCCUUCACGACCUCGAGCGUGUGUCCCACGAUACCACUGUUAUCGAGCAAGGGAGAGGGAAAAGAGAUCCGAAGGAAAGCUCCACGCCGAGCAUGAGAUGGGGAGAUGUGAGCGUGAGAGCGGUGAGGAAGGACUGCAGGGAGAUAAGAUGAGAAAGACAGUAAUAUACUCUUUCCCUCUGUUCCCAGUUUUAAAAGUACAAACAGCUAACUGAAACUGAAUUUCCCCUUUAACAUCGAAAGCUUAUCCAGUGCCUAACGUGUCAAGUUUUAGCUUUCAGGAAAUAUGGAGCCAUGAUUUUUUUUUGUUUCUUCCUUGUUUUUCUUGAGGCCCGAGCUAAUGGUAUUUUGAAAGACUCGGUCAGUUUUUGUUCCUCAUUCGUUUGCUUUUCUUCCAUGCAAACGUUCCAAAGUUCUCACAAUCGAUCUUCAACACUAAACCAUGGUGGAAACUCUUAAUUUGCUUCCAACCAAAGACUUUAAAUUUCUUUUCCAGAUUUCGAUGUUAAAGGGGAAAUUCAGCUUUAGCUAGCUGUUUGUGAACUUUGAAUAAAGAUGCUUUUAAAAUUGCAUCAGAACACGUAUGGACGGGGGAACAGAGGGAAAGAGUACGAAGGAUAUAUUACUGUCUUUAUCUGUCUGCAGUCCUUCCUCACCGUUUUGUUUUUUUCUCAUAGGCUGCCAGCUAUCACAGUUACACUCACCUUGAGUUUAAUGUAUUCUUUGAGAGACUUUGUAUGUACGGGUAAAGAAGUCAAUGGUACGCAAGCCUCUGUUCAUGCUUGUACUGAAAUAGUAAAACAAAAUUUUCUUGCUGCUUUCUGCAGUCACUCAUACCUGGAGCAAUAACACGGAUUUCCCUGAAGCGACUGGUCUCCAAGACCGGUUUGUUAGAGAACUUAUUGUAGAGGCUUUGUUCGCGAGCAAUCUUUUUCAGCUGUUGUCGCUGGUUUACGCUCCCAGGAAAUGGGGAUUAGCAGGAUGGGCGCCCUCUAUCAAGGACGGUACCGCAGGUAAGAGAGCUGUUGCUAGAAACUUCUUGUGUCUUUGUUGCUAAUCCAGACACUGGAUUGAUUCGGAUUAUGCUGGGUACGAUUGCUCUGACAAUUACUUGCGAGUCCAGUCACGUUAGUUUGCUGUUAGUCUACAUGGCUUGUUGCUUUUUCUGUUCGUGUUGCCAUCUGGCCUGCCUAAGAGCAUGGCGUACAUGGACUGCGAGCCAGAAAACAUCGAAGACGUGACACGAGCGCUUGAUGCAAAACACUGUAGCUUGCGGAGAGCAGAUUGUCCUAGCAGCGGUUGACGUGGUUCGUGGACAAUCUGAGAGUGCAGAAGUUCUAUUCUACUUCAGAAUCGGUGUUUGCAGUCACUUGCAAAAAGCAGGGAAGUAGCCAAUUCUCUCAAAUCCAAGUCAUUUGUAUUAGAAAAAGAUACAAGAAGACUUUCUACUUUAUAUUCUUGUACUAGAAGAAGAAGAAGACCGUAUUCGCGAACAUAGCACUCACAGCUCCUCCUGCAUGGGCAUAGUCCUUCUCCCAAUGGGAGAAAACUCCCCAAAACAAAGCAGAAAUUAGAGAACACACGGAGAACACGACGUACAGAGGUGACCGUGGGAAACCAAGCCGAAGAACUCCGCGCAGGCCAAGAGGAAAGGCUGAUGCUACGACGUAGAUUCCCGCUGUGACCCAGAUGCGUGGCGGCUGGUGCUGAAACGCGAGCGAAAACCCAGGAGACGCAAGACUGAGCACCAGCGAAGAACACAGUAUCGCGACUCCUCGUCCCCGUUCAGCAGGCAGCUUGGCAAUCACCGUGAACAGCCCAAACACACAGAAGAAACCUGAGAAUGCAGCGACGAAGGCCGACACGAUAACCAAGUGGUGGUAGUCUAUGCGAUCGCUGUUCCACUUCUCCACAUCUUUGAUUCGUGGAGCAGCAAAUGGGGACUCUUGGGCUCUUCAGGAAAGCUAGGAAUCUUUGGCUCGGGACGCAUUUCACCAGCAUUCUCACAGGAAGAAGAGAGAACGAGAAAAACAUACCUGUCUCGCCCGCAAUGCCACCAAAAACCCUCUUCACAAGUAAAAAUCUCAUGGUUUUGACCGUCUGGUUAGUUAAGCCAGUAGGAGCGCGUCUGGUUAGGCUACGGCUGGAUCGGAAUGUCCACCUCCAACUUUAUGAUCCACUGCGGUUCAAACGCAAAAAUCUCACUUCCACAAAUCAAAUAACUUUAUAAGUUCCUGUUAUUUUCCAAAACACGUUUGAAGGGCAACAAUAAAUAAUUUAUAUAAUCAAACAGGGCAAAACCUUUUCUGGGCUUAUAAGCUAAAUCAAACUUUUUUCUUGGGACUGGAACUUGGAGCAAGGAAUAGUUAGUAAGCAUAUACAUCUCAAAUCACUCAUGGUUUAUCAUUUAGUUUACAAUAGCACAUGCUUGUGAAGGAAAAUCAUCUAUAGUGAGGUGGUUCAUAAAAGCACUUUGUUUUCUUGGCUGCAAACGAUGGCUUUUUCCAAAUCAUGGGUUUGCAGGCAACAAUAUAUAUGUAUAAGGUGAUUGGUGGAUAUCCUAUGAUUUCUUUAUGUGAGCUAGUUUACAUAUUUUGUGUAGACGAUGCCACAAUGGCAGAAGAUCAACUUUGAUCUAGUGUUUUUUAUUAAGUGUUACUAAAUUAGACUUAACAUCUGUACUUUACUACACAAGCAUAAAGAAGGAAUAAAUGUCUAUUUAACUCAACAUACUUGGCUUAGUUUGUUAAUUUUAUGUUGCUCUAUUUUUCAUUAGCUUAACAAAAAUCCCCUCAACAUUGAUCCUAAGCUUGCCAAUUGGGUGUGUUUUCAUGUGGGUUUAUAGGUUUGUUUUAUUAAUAUGGUUUUGUAAUUAAUUUUUUAAUUAGCGCUCCACCUCCAUUUUCUCUUGUUGAAGCUGGCAAAGCUGGAGAAUCAGUGGAGACGGACCAGUGCUUCAAUCAUGACUAUGGUGCUCGCUAUUUUGCUAGCCAACACUAGGGCCGUGCUACCUAGAUCAAAAAAGAAAUGAGGUAAGCUAUCUACUCUUACUUGCGUGUAGCCAACACUCUUGUUGCACAUCCUCGUCACAUAAGAAAAGCAAUUGUUAUGGUACAAAGAAUCUCAACUCACUAUAUUGAUAGCCUCUCUAUUCACAAUGCUGGACUAGCUGAAGGAAAAGAAAAAAAAAAAAAAACAACAAUAAUCUAAUGUACCACUAGAUCCACUUACCCACACAUGAAUCCCUCAAACUUGAAUUAAGCCAUUACUUGGAUCAUCAUGAAGAAGUAGCAACUUCUCCUCUUGCGGCUUGGAGUGGGUUAAUAGAUUAAACUAGUAUUGAUCGGUGAUAAAAGAAUAAUACAAACUACAUGUUUGGAUAUUGGCUCUUAGUUUCUUUUUGCUCUAUCUUGCAUUGGCUUGAUAAAAACCUUCACAUAUUGAGAUUAAUCCCUCAAUAUUGCCAAAUGAUACCUUACCGUGUUUGCCAAACACCUUUGCUAUCAUGUACCUUAUGUUAGUACCAUUUGAUUUCAAUUGUUAUUUAUGGAAAGUGUUUUGUGGAGUUGUGGGAUUCCAAAUGUAUAGUAGGGAUAGUGGGUAAGUUGGGUAUGGUUGACCAAUCUAAAGCAUAAUCUACCUCCGACUUGUGUGUUUGUACUUGUUCUAUUCUGGCUUGAGUUUAAGCCCAAAUUCCACACCAUGCUAAUUGGUGGAAUACCUAUAUCCUCACGUUAGGCUAUUGGUAUGUUGAAAUAACACCAAACUUUGUUUGACUUCAUUUUGUAUGUUGAUCCUCGCAUUGGGAUGCUGGAUGCUUUAAAAUAGUUCCUAUGUCACUUUGUGCUCCUGUCCCUUCGCUCCUUGAGCUGAAUACUUAGGAAUCACUCUGUGCUCUAGUACUUUCACUCUUUGACUGCAAAGCUUGGGAGUUUGGCUUUGUUCUUUUAUUCAGUGGCAUAGGGCCAUGAAACUCGAGUUCCACACCACUGUCCUUAAACAUAUAGCAUGUGACACAUAGUAUAUGGAGGGUUAAGUUCCACUUCAUGGUUAUCCUAUGGUACAUCACCAUAGGAUAAAGGGUUAAAACUAUAUGUGUUACAAAUUGGAAGUGUAAAAUGUGGUAUUUAGAUCUAUUAGCAUAUUUACAGAAUGUAAAGAUUAUCCUUAAUAUAAUAGUUUUAUUCAUAUAUUCAAAUUCACAAUCUCGUAUCAUUCAAUAUUUAAUAAGUUUUCUAGAUUGUCCUAAAGAUUGGGCGAAAGCUCUAAAUAUAUUUUUUAUAUAUAGUAGGGGUUCUAUAAGGGUUCCAAAUGUAUAAUAGAGAAAGUGGGUAGGAUAGGUAUGGCCGACUAAUAUAAAAUAUUAUUUACUUGGGUCUUGCUCUAUUGCUCUUGGCAUAAGUAUAUAAGGGUUAAAUUCCAUUUAGUGACCAACAAACUUGAAAUUUUUUAUGAGAACAGAGACAAAAAAGAAAAGGGGGUUUACUUAUUCACAUGAUGCAUAAUUUAAUAUAAUUGUAGUGCAUCUUUGUGUUUCGUGUUGAUGAAUAACACCUCAACUUGGACAUAUUUCUUCUUGUUAAAAGCAAAGAAAUGAUUAAUCACAAUAUUCUAAACUUUUAACCAAUUGUUCCCAUCCCAUACAUGGAAUAUAAUGCCCUUGAGCCAACUUUAAUUUUAAUUAUGAUCUAGCUCUCUCUCAAAUUCGUUAUUCUUGUUUACCCAACAUUAUUCUCAUUUAGCCUUGAUUUCUUUAUAACAUAAGUGGUUUGUUGCAACUGUUUUGUGAACUUAUCCUUUUUAUGAAGAUAGCUUUCAAGAUAAAAUUUGUUAACCAUCUUCUCAUUUAGAAUAAAAACUUUUUGCACAACCUCAUUAAAUAGCAUCAAAAAAAGAGGAACAAAGAGAGGUUUGUUGUCAUAAUGAAUCCUGAUCUUCUUCAUCACAUCAAAAAGCAUUCCAACAUGAAACAUCUUCACAGGAAAUAAAUCAUCAAUAAAAGGAAUCAUAAGUUUCUUAGCAGCAAAACUCCUCUUUAUACCAUCAAUUUUUAUCUUUGCACAAUCAUUUUCAAGGUUCAGCCCCUACUAAUUUUUGAAUGGUGGAAUUUUUAAUUGUUCACUGCAGAAUAAGGUGAUUGAAGAAGCAACAUUCAUACCAAACAUAAACCAUUAUGGGAUUAAACAUAUAAAUUAACUGGCUAGAAGGGGUUUCAAAACAAAAACAAGUUUGUAUAAUGCUUAUUGUGAAGAGCUAUUUGAACAAUGCAUCAUCUAUAAACAGUUCUAAGAAGGAAGGUAUGUUAGUUUGAAAUUAGGCUAGUAAGAAGUCUAUGCAAGAAAAAGUGGCACACCUAGUAGUGCACAGAAAUGGGUGGUUGAUAUGCUUAACUUUAACAUACAAGCUAGGUAGAUUGGCAUUAUGUCAAAUCCAAGUGCCUGUAGAGAAAAAUAAAAAAUAAAUUCUAGAAAGUAGGCAACAAUAGCUUUAUAUAUAGUUGGGAAUGAUGAUAUACAUAAACUGGACACCAUCAGUUCAAGACUACUCAUCCAGAAAGAAUUUAAACUUUGCCAAUACUGAAACCACAACAACACAAAUUAGAGAUCCAAACUUGGGUGUAGUGAACAUUGUGGAGAAGGACAUUGAUGACUCAUUCUGGGCUUUACGAUGUGUUGGGAAAGAUAAACGUGAUACAUGCAUAGGAUGGCUUAAAGCAAAACACAGACAUUGUAAGAAGUCAAUUCCAAAAAAUACAAUGGCACCAAGCAUAACAUGAUAUAGCAUCUAAACAUUUUGGUUCUAUAUAAAUGAUAUUCAGUCGUGCUCCACUACAAUGGCCAGUUGCUAAAGGCACAUUAAUAACUUUGGCACACAGCUACACGUCCGCCCGGUCCCUGGACGAUCUAGACACCUGCAAUGAUCGUCAAGGACCUGGUGGAGCCAGUGUCGGACACCUUCAUCAACCUCGUGAACAUGGACUACGUCGAAAAGUAGUGUGGCAUCCGGAUCAGGAAGGGGGGGAGCACGCAGGCCCAGCCGCUGGAGAGCUUCGCAGUGAAGAUCUCCAACUUCGAGUCCAAGUUCUCCAGUGCAGUCUCCGAAGGUGGAAGGGUGGCGGUGGCGGUGGCGGGCAGUAUCAAGGACGUGCUUCCACACCUCUCGCAGGUCGGGGAGUUUAGCAUGGAAGUGAGCCUGGAGGCAUCGGUCAUCCUGUCCAAACAGGUGGAUCAGCUGGGGAUCAUCGGGAAAGUUGGCGGGCUGCUGGGCGACGGGAACGUGAACGUGAGCUUCAUGAGCGUGGGGAGGACUUCGCCCAGGAAGCAGGCGGUGAUGGCGAUUGGCGUGGAUGAGGAGCCGAGCAAGGAAGUGCUGCACAGGGUCAGGGCCAUCCCGGCGGUGGAGGAGUUCGUGUUUCUCAAGCUCUAGGAAGCUUUUUCUAUCACAGGUUGAUAGAAAAUCUCUGGAAGAUCAUCGCUCAAGCGAAGUUCUAUACAUUGUCCAGCAUUGACAAGGUUUGAAAGUAGUAUUUGAUCGUUCUUGUGUGAGUGAGAGCCGUGGUCAAACUUUAGGAUCAUUAUGGCGAACGAGGAGAAGGUGUGUGUCACCGGCGCUUCUGGCUUCCUGGCAUCUUGGCUCGUGAAGCGGCUAUUGGAGGAGGGAUAUCACGUCGUCGGGACUGUGCGCGAUCCAGGUACAUAGAAACGAGAAGAAACAUAGUCUAAUUCUCUUGUUUGUGGUACUAGACGAUGCGAGCGAGACUUCCCACCUGUGGGAGCUUCCAGUAGAGGCUGGAGCUCAAGAAGGCCGACCUUGUCACGCAAGGGGCCUUUGACGAUAUUGUUCAAGGCUGCGAUGGAGUAUUCCAUGUCGCGGCUGCCAUGACUAUCAGCUACAAGGAGGAUCCACAGGUAACUUUGCUUGACUCCUUCGAUUCGGUCUAACCUUGUAUCACUUUUACUGGUUGUUUUUGCUUUCGGUUCUUCUUCCAGGCCGAGAUUGUUGAUCCAUGCUUGCUUGGAACUCUAAAGGUGCUCAAUGCCUGCAAGAGAUCCACGACAGUCAAGCGAGUGGUGUGCACGUCAGCCGUGGCUGCUGUUCGCGUGAGGAACGACUUCAAGCCCGAUGACGUCUUGGAUGAAUCGGUGUGGAGCUCUUUUGUCGAGUCAAAGCUUAAUACAAUUUACAAUUACAGCCAAUCCUCUAGCAAGAAGGACGUUGUGAACCGGCUUCGUGGCUUGCUGACGAUUAUGGAUUUGGAGAUCUAGGAAGACUCAGUUGCCAUCCUCACUAGAUUCUCUAUUUUUCCAAUAUCGAUUUCUUCGGUCUAACUUGCCCAAAUCCCAUGAUCUCAGGAGACAAACCCCGGACCAAGAAAAAUUAAACAAUGGAGCGAAGUCAGCAAGACCAAGAUCAAACAGAGGUAAUGCAAUUAUGCAAUUAUGCAAAGACAAAGUUGAUGCAUCCAGCAAACUCAAUCAAACGCAUAAAGAAAGUAGACCAGACAAUCGGGACGAAUUUGGCAUUGAAGACGUGCGAGUUCUGGUUUGAAUGGGUGAUUGAGGGUAAAUUCCCCAGAAUGUCUUGUAAAUGCAGAGAAAGAUAUUCUACUCUUGCACUUCUAUCUUCUUUGUUUUUUAUUGGAAGCUUGACUGAUUCAAGGUGCUCGUGUUAUUUCCAUAGCACUUUAUUGGAAGUAAACUAUCAAACUCAAGUUAAGAGGCCUUUGCGUUCCAGGCUCUCAACGCAAUCGUCGAACAUUUGCUCCAGCGACUUGAAUUGGAUCCCAAGGUCGUCCUGAAGCUUUCUGGAGCUGAAUCCCUUGAAAUUUGCCGGCGACCGGACCUUAAUCCUGAGGUGAGCUUGAGCAACGUCGUCGAGAUGGACGUAUCCAGCGUGAUCUAUCCACUGCUUGGCUCCUGCAAUGAGUUUGGAAUCUCAAAAACGUCCCGUUUUUUUUCUUCCGAUAUAGAAAGGCUUGCCUUGGAGCGCGGUGGCCCUGGACGAGAGAAGUUCUCCAGCGAUUAAGCUGGGAGCGAUUGUGAUCACAUCUAUGCCACUUUCUUUCCCAAACUCGAGUGCUGCUUGCUCGGAUAGAGUCUUUCCCAGACCAUACCACAUCUAAACUUCAAAAACUUUUUAAGAGUUGGUCCUUUGGAAAUAAGACUGAUUCUCAUGGCAGCACAAGAAAAUAAAGAACCAAGAUCGCGACCUAGCAUGCGCGGAUUCCUGAUGACGAUCGGCUAUGAUCCUGCGCAAAUGGGCAAGAAAAGCCACAUGAUUGUUAUCCGAACAUGCAGUCUGAUUAUUCUUUUAUCACCUAUCAGUACUAGUUUAUCCAUUACCCGCUUCAGCCGCAGAGGAGAGUUGCUUCUCUUUCCAUGAUGAUCCAGUAAUGGCUCGUCAGUCUGAGGGAUCAUCUGUGGUAAGUGAUCUAGUGGUACAUUAGAUUGUUGUUGUUUUUUUCUUUUUUUCUUUUUCUUCAGCUGGUCUAGCAUUGUGAAUAGAGAGGCUGGCAUUGUCAAUAUAGUGAGUUGAGAUUUUUUGUACCAUAACGGUUGCUUUUCUUAUGUGAGGAGGAUGUGCAGCAGGAGUGUUGGCUACACGCAAGGAAGAGUAGAUAGCUUAGCUCAUUUCUUUUUUGAUCCAGGUAGCACGGCCCUUGUGCUGGCUAGCAAAAUAGCAAGCACCAUAGUCAUGAUUGAAGCACUAUAGGUCUGUCUCCACUGAUUCUCCAGCUUUGCCAGCUUCAGCAGGAGAAAAUGGAGGUGGAGCGCUAAUUAAAAAAUUAAUUACAAAACCAUAUUAAUAAAACAAACGCAUAAAGCUUAAGCAACCCAUAUGAAAACACACCCAAUUGGCAAGCUUAGGCUCAAUGUUACAAUAUAUAUGUAUAAGGUGAUUGGUGGAUAUCCUAUGAUUUCUUUAUGCGAGCGAGGUUGCAUAUUUUGUGUAGACGAUGCCACAAUGGUAGAAGAUCAACUUUGAUCUAGUGUUUUUUGUUAAGUGUUACUAAAUUAGACUUAACAUUUGUAUUUUACUGCACAAGCAUAAAGAAGGAAUAAGUGUCUAUUUAACUCAACAUACUUGGCUUAGUUUGUUAAUUUUAUGUUACUCUAUUUUUCAUUAGCUUAACAAAAAUCCCCUCCACCUGCAAACCCAUGAUUUGGAAAAAGCCAUCGUUUGCAGCCAAGAAAACAAAGUGCUUUUAUGAACCACCUCAUUAUAGAUGAUUUUCCUUCACAAGCAUGUGCUGUUGUAAACAAAAUGAUAAACCAUGAGUGAUUUGAGAUGUAUAUGCUUGCUAAUGAGUAAUUUCUAUACAAAUAAUAAAGCAGUCUAAGCUAUGAAAAUUUGAUAUUAUAGAUUUGUAAUUUAUGCAUAGAUUUAUAUUUUUGAAACUUGAUUAUUUCUAGUGACAAUUCCAGUUAAUUGUAAUUUUAUAGAUUAGUAAUGUUUACAUGUAGAUAAGUGUACAGACAAGAGCUUCUAAAGUAAUUCUAAUAGCAAGCAUCUUGCUCCCAAGAAAAAAGUCUGAUUUAGCUUAUAAGCCCAGAAAAGGUUUUGCCCUGUUUGAUUAUAUUAAUUAUUUAUUGUUGCCCUUCAAACGUGUUUUGGAAAAUAACAGUAAAAUAGCGGAACUUAUUAAGUUAUUUGAUUUGUGGAAGUGAGAUUUUUGCGUUUGAACCGCAGUGGAUCAUAAAGUUGGAGGUGGACAUUCCGAUCCGGCCGCUAACAGCUCUUGUUAGUCUAACCAGACGCGCUCUUACUGGCUUAACUAACCAGACGCUCAAAACCAUGAGAUUUUUACUUGUAUGUUUUUCUCGUUCUCUCUUCUUCCUGUGAGAAUGCUGGUGAAAUGCGUUCCGAGCCAAAGAUUCCUAGCUUUCCUGAAGAGCCCAAGAGUCCCCAUUUUCUGCUCCACGAAUCAAAGAGGUGUGGUUUUGGUUUUUGGUGCUAAGUUCUCUCUUUUCACCCGUAUCUGGUCUCUAGGAACCAGAUACGCUGGAGAAGAUUCAUUUGAGUGCUUUGCUUCUGGUGUUACCCGGUUUACCAAUUUUGUUUCUCAAGCUAUACAACUCGACUUACGUUUUUCUUUGACAGGCUUCACGUCUCUGCCCAAGCCCUUGAGCGAGUUUAGCCGGGAUCUUGCGGAGGCAGUCAGGUGAAACGAUUUGUUGAGGACGACUGGAAGUUGAGCGGCUCUUUCUUUACGGAGACGAGGCAGCUGAGAAGCAUCGAGUUGUAAAAGACAGGGCUCCGUCAGAAGGCGCAAUUGCAAACUUCCGAGUCUUCAUCAUGGGUGCUUCUUUGGCAUUUGUAUGGAAACGGUAGCAUCGCUUCUUACGUUUCAACGGGACUGACUUUAUUGCUUUUUGAAAGCGCAGUCCGGCUUUACAAGAAACGAUGAGACUGCUCAAACUUGUCUUCGUCUUGUCUCGAGAGUCUGGCGUCCAAGGAAUUGGAUUUAGAAAAGAAGGUAAAACUCUUGCAUGGAGUAUAUCCGUGUCUACAAAUGUUAUCACUACAGGAAGGCGGGCCUAUGCACUCAGAAGCUCGUUCGAUAACACGGGCUAUCAAAAACAUAUCGGAACUCACUAUGUUCGACAUUUGGAUUCUGAUGCUCCAACUCCAGGUUGCAUCCCGAAGAUCAGGUACUACGCUCUUACGGGUCCUCUUCUUACGUGUAUCGUAUUUAUCGCAGAAACUGGAACAUAAUCUUUUAGAGAUGUGCGGAAUCUAGCUGGAAGAAACGCAAAGGCGCAGGACCUGUGUCCAACAGGGAUUGCUCUUCGUUGCUCAGGUACAUGAAACAAAUGUUUCUAGACAUCUUAAGCAAGCAGUGUUCUAAAACUUUCUUCGUUUUUCUUGUGAUACUAGAGGAGAGAAGCCAACUUCAAAACAAGAUAAAGCACUCGCGCUGCUCAAAUCCAAGCUCCUGGUGAUUCUCGAGCAAAAACCAGUUGCUUAUUUUCUUGAAUUAAUGACACAGCUAUCUUUCAUUAUCAGGCGUGGAGAGCUGGCUGCAUGACUGCUCAUUCAACGAGCGCGCUUUAGACGCUACAGAGCUUGAUGGAGGAAGGAGGAUAUAGAAGUGGGCUUGCUUUUGUGCUUCCGAGGUAUGGACUUGAACUUGUGUUUGUGUUUCCAAACAAGGUGUUCCAGAAAAUAGGGUCAAGUGAAGGGGAGAGAUACGAGAGUCCCGUUAAGGUACUUUGUGAUAAACUUUUGACUAGCUCGUGAUUUCUUUUUCUACAAAACAGAUACCUUGCAUGAUUGUAUCCAAGAAAGGGGAUGCCCGAGAAAAGCUGCUAGAGACUGUCAACGAGUUCCCUCCAACAAUGUUAAUACUGGGAAGCCGAGGCCUCGGAAUGGUGAAAAGGAUCGCCAAAAAGCUCUAGUUUCCAUUCCUUGUAGUUAGGAAAUCCAUAGCUAGAGAUGUUUUCUUGGAAAUUUUUUGUAUGGAUAAUGAUAGGAUGGGCUCUUUGUUUUCAAUCAAACCGUGGAUUUAGACAGGACGUUCCUGGGAAGCGUGAGUGGCUAUGCUGCACAGCACGCUGAAUGCCCUGUGCUUAUUGUCAAGCUUCCACCCGUAAGAUUUUAUGUGUUUCAAAUGCCUUUUUUCUCUUUUUCUUUUGAGGGACCUAUAAGCGGUGCGUUCUUCAGUCGGCACUUUCUUAAGUUUACCCUCAGAAAGAAAAUCGAUUCGCUUGUUCAGGACCAAAAUUCUCAACAAACUAUUGUUUGAAAAAAGCUCUAGAAACUGUUCAAGUGUCGCUUUGAGGAUCCGAAAACACAGAAUUGGUGCUAAUCGUUGGCACAAGUUUAGGCUUAUUCCUUCUUUUCCUUAAGUUGUAGUAUAGUGUGACGCGGACAACUGGGGUUCGAUCCCCUGCAACUGCGCUUGUCAGGAAAGUGUGAAUUAAAGAAGACGAUCGGGAACAUUGUAGCUCAAAGUGCUUAAUUCGUUCAAUUGCUCAUUGGAUUGCAAUAUAUCUUUUGUUCAUUAACACCACAACAGCAAUAUAGUCCACAACGCAGACCAUCCUAUUUCCCUAGACGUCUACACAAGGUAUGCAACCUGGCUCGCAUAAAGAAACUAUAGGAUGUCCACCAAUCACUUCACAUAUAUUGUUGUGAUCAUCCCCUGGGCGCCUGCAAACCUAUGAUUUGGAAAAGAAAACAAGGUGCUUCUAUGAACUACCUCAUUAUGGCUGAUCUUCCUUCACAAGAAUGUGCUGUUGCAGACAAAAUGAUAAACCAUAUUUGAGACAUAUAUGCUUGCUAAUGUACUCCAAUAAAAAUACUAACCAGCAUACAAUGUAAGAGAGUAAUAAUAACUCUAAUAAUAAUUGGAAAAACACAUUAGCAUAAUGAAACAGUCUAAGUUGAUAUUCCAACUCUAAACCCUAAACUCUCUCUCUCUCUCUCUCUCUCUCUCUCUCUCUCUCUCUCUCUCUCUCUCUCUCUCUCUCUCUCUCUCUUGUGUAUGACUGGCAAAGUCGUAAUGUCACCGCAGAAGUCUAUGCUGCUAUAUAUUAAAAAAUCCACACUCUCUGAAUACUCGCAUUAUCUGUGGUGGCACAUGAAUUCUAGUUUCAACCAGCCCAAAGUUCUCUUGAUCACUUUAAUAUUACAAACUUAAUUGGAAACAUUUGCUACUCUCCCACUGUUUCUUUUGUUCAUCAGAACUCGUCCUAACAUUUCCCCCACUAACACCACAACAACAAUAGAGUCCAUGACACACACCAUCCUAUUUCCCCACCUCCAGUCUGGAUAUAAAUGUUUACACACAAAAGUGAUAGGUAUGCAACUUGGCACACAAAGAGAACCUAUAGGAUAUGUACCAAUUACUUCACAUAUAACAUUGUCAUCUUCCCUCAGACAGUCGGCAAAUCCAUGAUUUGGAAAAAGCCAUCUUUUCCAACUAAUAAAACAGGGUGUUUCCAUGAACCAUCUCAUUACAGCUGAUGUUCCUGCACAAGAAUGUGCUAUUGCAGACAAAACUUGCCAAAUAAUAAACCAGGAGCGAUUAGAGACAUAUGUGCUGGCUAAUGCACUAGCUGCUCCAAUAAAAAUACUAACCAGCAUAGAGCACCUGUAGUGGAAGAGAGUAACGAUUCCAAUAAUAACUGUAAAAUCAGUUUAGCAAUAGCAUUUUAUACAACUGUUCUAAUAUUACCUCCAAUAAUAUAGCCUACUGAUAGAAAUAUAUAUACAUGACGAGUGAAGCAAACAAGUUGCCAAUAUCUUAUGGCAGAGUAUUUUGGCCCAAUUUUUGCAUAGGCCACGUAAUAUGAUGUAAAACCCCAAUGGUAGCUAGGGCUUAGUGCAUUGCAGUCUCUUUGACAAUAAAGAACACCAUUUGGGCAAUUCCACUUUGGAGGAUAAAAUGUGAUAUAGAUGGUGAAAACAUAAAAACUAAUUGCCCAAGUCAUAAUAAUUGAAACAGGUAAGAAGAACCACCACAAUGGAACACUCGUACUAGUAAUCUCCAUACCCAACCUAUCAAGCCCUAAUAUGUAAUCCUAUAAAUAACAAGAAAAGGAUGUGGAUGAUGAGGCUGAGAGCUAUUCGCUUUGAUCAUGGAUUCACCUCGAGUUUAUUGUGUUCCAUCAGGCACUUGUCAGUACGAGGUCAAUGGUGUUGGAAUCAAUGUGAGCGAGCCAGGUACUGCUUUGUACUUCCUCAAAGAGUAAAGGCAUAAACGUUUUGGCUUCUUUCUGCAGUCACACAUACAACACGGAUUUUCCGAAGCGGUUGGUCUCCAAGAUGUGAUGAUACUUGAAAGAGAACUUUGCUUUCCUGUACGUAGAGAUUGUGGAGGCUUUGUUAGAGGUGGUGAGCCAUCUUUGCAGGUCACUGGUUGACACUACCAGGAAAUGCUAGAGGAUGGAUGCAUCCUCCAGUCACCAUUUGAUGGAUGUUAGUGCAGGUAAAAGAAUUAUUGCUAGAAACUCUUAUAACUUUCUUGUGUCUUUGUUGAUAAUUCAGACACUGGACAUCUGCAUUUGCUGGAUACGAUUGCUUUGAGAAUUACUUGCGAGUGGAGACAUGUUAGUUGUUCUCUUAUUCUUGUUUGUCUUGCUAGCUCUCAGCUCAGACUUGCCUAAGAGCAUUGGCAUACAUGGAGCUCAAGCAUUUCGUCCUACAGUCUUGGCAUCAAAGGCUCGUCCAUGGGGCUUGUCAAGUCUUUGAUGUUUUUCUGCGCGGUUGGACACCUAAUAGUGCAGAAAGCUUCAUUGUACUUCGGAAUUGCUCGCAGCCGUGGCAUUGAAGACACCUCGUCUAGCCAGCUUUCAAUCACUUGCAUAGACAAAAAAACUAGAGUGCAUUUAGCAAGAAAAAAACAUACAAGAAGAGCUGCUUUCUAUCUUCUAUUUCUUGCGAAAGAAGGCAACGAAGAAAGCUACAUUUGCAAACCCAGUUGUAACGGCUCCCGUGAGAUGGGCGUAGUCCGUCUCCCAAUGGGAGAAAAUUCCCCACAGCAAAGCUGACACAAGAGAAAACAGUGAGAACCCGAAGUACAGAAAUGACCGUGGGAAACCAAGCCGAAGAACUCCACGCAGGCCAAGAGGAAAGGCUGAUGCUACGACGUAGAUUCCCGCUGUGACCCAGAUGCGUGGCGGCUGGUGCUGAAACGCGAGCGAAAACCCAGGAGACGCAAGACUGAGCACCAUCGAAGAACACAGUAUCGCGACUCCUCGUCCCCGUCCAGCAGGCAGCUUGGCAAUCACCGUAAGCAGCCCAAACACACAGAAGAAACCUGAGAAUGCAGCGACGAAGGCCGACAUGAUAGCCAAGUGGUGGUAGUCUAUGCGAUCCCUGUUCCACUUCUCCACCAUAGCAACCGCGUUGAGGGUGGAAAGUGCCAGGAGAGCCAAGAGAGGGGACAACGACCUCAGCAUAUCGUCACCUGAAGAUCCUCGAGCUUGAGCAUCACCUGCCUGGGCAUUGCCGCCAGUAGCAGCAAGUAGCACAGCACCAGCUCCCGCAAGUGGCACAGCAGCAGCCACACCAGGGUCUCCCUCAUGAGCCAUCACACCAGCAUCUCCCUCAGCAGGUGUGUCUCCCAUGGACACGCUAUCUCCUCCCUGAGCCGUCUCAACAAUCUUGUCUCCCGUGGCACAUCUCCCUCCGUCACAAUGAUCCCCGUGAAAUCUUCACCUGGAUGGACAUCUCCUUCACCCUCGCACUCGUCCUGUGCACCAGUGUCUCGCUCACCUGCAGCAGCGUUUCCCUCAGUUGGACCAGCAGCAGCGUCUUGCUCCGGCAUAUCCACAACGAUGUUGGUAGCGUCUCCCUCCGGCAUGGCAGCGGCGGCUCCCUCCAGCACAUUUGCAACACCAGCGUCUUCCUCCGGCAUGCCACCGGCGUCUCCCUCCAGCACAUUUGCAACGCCAGCGUCUCCCACAUCCACAAAGAUCCUAGUCGCCUCUUGGCCACCAAUUUGAGCCGCGCCAUCGCCCAGAACACCACCGCGCGCUGGAUCCACGCCCAGAACACCACCGCGCGCUGGAUCCACUCCAUGGCAAAACGCUGCUAGCGCUAUCGAAGCCACUAGAGAAGACAGCAUUGACAAAAAUCCUAGCCAGAAGAUUCGUGAUUUGGUGAUCUCCUCGGCAGGAAUCGCGUCUGUAGGAACCUUGUGUGCCUGAUGCUGGAACGGAUCCAAGAAUGCUGGCACUGGCGGUGUGGGGAAGUAUAUCUUGCUCCAGAGGAUCCAGACCACGAGCCCAAAUGCAAUCACGCCCACAGCUCCAAGCCGACCGCGUCUUGCUCCCCGCAGCUCCAGACCGCGUCUUGCUCCUCGCAGCUCCAUUAGGUCUUGGAGAAUGGCACAAGAUCUUCGCGUUUAAGAACACACACCCUCAUAUGUCCUAGAACCGACCAAGAUCUCAAAAAAGAAUAAGAGCGUCCUUCUUUGAUAUCUUGGAGUGGCUUCGUAGAAAAGAAUGUAGCUUUUUGCUCAGGCUUUCACAAAUCCAGUGGCUUUCUCCGGCCUCCAGCCUCCAUUCUGUGCACAUCUAUGAAGCUUGUGGAAAAUGUGACAAUACCUCUAGUUGCGCUGAAACAGUCCCUGCGAGCUCCCGACUGAACAGAUUGUCACGAAUCUGUACAAGGAAUUGUCAUGACACGCCUACCUGAAUGAUCGCAAUCGCACCAGAAGUUCUGGAACGCAGCAAGCUCUCUUCUAUUGCAGGAAAUGAUCUAAGAAGAAGAACAAGAUGCAAGAACAGUGCUGGGAUUAAAUAAGCACAAACUUUGAGGCAGCAGACUGACCAGAUCUCGAGAACCUUAAAAGAAAGCCUGAUAGUCCUCAGGCAGAAGUACAGUUUCGUAAGUCUACUACUUCUUUAAGCUCUGAAAGAUGUCCAGAAAGUAGUGACGUUAGUGACCAAGAACGACAAGGAAAUCAACAGCAGUAUUUCAUUAUCAACGAUAUACCUGUGUUUGUCAAGAGAGCACGCAACUGUAUCCGAAUCUGGUAGACCUGCUCGAGAAGUAAAGUCCAUUUAGUGCACAGAAUGUCCUGUCUGUAAGUUCCACUCUCUCUGUAUCUUCAGCUUUCAAUUAACGGAUGUUUUGAGUUCACGAGACUUCUCAAAGAAACUAGAAAAGCAUCACAUUACCAAAUAGCCGUAACGGACGUAGCAUGGCAUUCCUGAGGAAAACCAUCUCACUGAGGUUAGAUUGAUUUAGACAAACAAAGAUACUAUGUACCUGUCGUUCUGCCGUGCUCCAUCAUAUGCACGUAAAGAUCCGCACCAGCUAGAUUAGAGGCAUAAGGACGAGGAGCUCCAUGAGUAUUUCCGCGGUACUUUCCUGCAGGAAUGUGGAAAAAGCGCAUUCAGCCUCAUUAGCGCCUGGACCAAACUAUGUAGAUCAUGAAACAACACUUACACCAAAUUGCUUCCCAAACCUGAAAUACAUCCUGAGAAACAUACCUCUAGCUGACUGCCGCUAAACAGUCCCUGAAGAGCUCCCGACGCAACCAGUCAGGAUUAUCACUUGCUGUCAUUUCAAGACCGGAAGCCAGCCACGAAUCUGAAACGAAGCUCCAGAGCAAGAAAUUGCAAUUUAAACCUGACGCACCUCCAUGCAUCGUAGCACAAGUUCUGGAAAGCAGCAACGACGGCAAAUAAAUCACGAAUGGAGCAUCCCGGCGUACACCAUCCGAGUGAAUAGAAAACGCAUCCAUUCGAAAAACUUCAGGAUGAAAAUGUGGAAGUUCUCCUGCAACAAAAGGAAAAAGAGAAGAAAUUAAUCCUGAUGUCCAGGGCGAAAAGUAAACCUUCAAUGACAAAAAUCCACCAUCACUUGUUACAAGUGAUUCAAUGCCUUCCCCUUCAAGAGCCGCACAUUUGAGCUCUAUAUCCAGUAACAUAUUGUUCUGAGGAUUGACAGCCACAUUCACCUGUUUCACUCAAGUCGUAAGGUUACAAAAAACGCCAGAUAGAAGUUCUCUUUACCGUUAAGUUGCGUUGAAUGGAAGCCAACUCUCCCGAGCAAAAAUGCAAUGCGCUGUUCGGAGCAGUGCAAACUGUAGGAUCUGGAGCAAAUCAAGGAUCCGAUGAUCUCCAUAAAACGACAGUGGAAAAUAGUUCCACGGAUUGGAAGGCCUCAUCGUUGGUGAGAAGCCACUUUCAUUCGCUACCUGAAAACGAAAAUGUGAAAACAAAAUAGGAAGAAGCAAAAUAAGAUAGCUUACUGUGAAGAAAAGCAGUAGCUGUGUCAAGAGCUUGUUUUGCAGUAGCAAAGGACCUUGCUCUUUCUUCAGGUGAAAUGCAGUUCUCAAUUGUUGAUAGCCAGCUUCGAUAAUGUGCGUCACAAGAAACGUAUUCUUGCUGAAAAAACGAAGUCCCGGGAAAAAAAAAACAAAAAAAAAAAAACAGGCAGCAACGUUCUUUUUUUUAAUGGCUCUGCUUUUUCCUUCCGAAAUCUCAACACUGCACCAUAGCGGCGUUAGCGAGAUCUCUCGGAAAACCAAACGCUGUUGGAAUUCUGCCAUACAACGGGAGGCUGCCGCAGCUCCAUCAUAUCCACGUAAAGAUCUGAGAGGGAUGAGGGCCAACGAGCUCUUCCUUGUGUUGCGUGAAUACAAACCUCACGUACCUAAAAGAAUAACAUAAACAAUAAGUGGAAGUGAAAUCGAUCAUACGUGCUCAGGAUUCAAUCUCCAGCCAAUUCAAGCCUGUCCCCGUAUUGUCCUUCAAUCCUUCCGCAGAACCAGAUGUGCGGCGAAACGAAUCAUUUGAGGAUGCCUGUGUGGCCCUGAGAGAAACUCAGCUUAACGCACAAUGAUCAAAGCCUACGUACUUGACGUUAGAACUGUCGUCUACAUUUCCAGUACCGCUGCCAUAUCAGAGACCACGAGGUGCAUCUGUCCAACACAACAGCUGCGUCUCACAACCAGAUUCCCAAGUCAUGAUGAGACAAAAUGUGUACCCAGAGUAGAGCUUUUGAAACAAGUUGAUAAAAUCACAAGGCAACAGGCUCGGCACAAGUGGAAGAUAAAUCGAUCGCGCUUAAAAGAUGGCGGUGAGAAAGCUCUCCAUGACCUUACAAGAGCGAACACGUUGGCUUUUUUUCAGAUUAGAAUCACAGCACAAUACCUCGCAGUUGGCGUCAACACACGUGGUUUACAUUGCAGCAAAAACGGGACUCUCGUAUCUCCCCCCCUUCACUUGACGCUAUUUUCUGGAACACCUUGUUUGGAAACUCAAACACAAGUUCAAGCCCAUACCUCGGAAGCACAAAAGCAAGCCCAUUUCCGUAUCCUCCCUCCAUCAAGCCCUGUAGCGUCUAAAGGAAUGAGCAGUCAUGCAGCCAGCUCUCCACGCCUGAUAGUGCAAGAUAGCUGUGUCAUUAAUUCAAGAAAAUAAGAAACUGGUUUUUGCUCGAGAAUCACCAGGAGCUUGGAUUUGAGCAGCGCGAGUGCUUUAUCUUGUUUUGAAGUUGGCUUCUCUACUCUAGUAUCACAAGAAAAACAAAGAAAGUUUUAGAACACUGCUUGCUGAAGAAAUUCUAGAAACAUUUGUUUCAUGUACCUGAGCAACGAAGAGUAAUCCCUGUUGGACACAGGUCCUGCACUUCUGCGUUUCUUCCAGCUCGGAUGAGAUUCCGCACAUCUCUAAAAGAUUAUGUUCCAGUUUCUGCGACAAAUACGAUACACGUAAGAAGACCCGUAAGAGCGUAGUACCUGAUCUUCGGGAUGCAACCUGGAGUUGGAGCAUCAAGAUCCAAAUGUCGAACAUAGUGAGUUCCGAUAUUUUUUUUGAUAGCCCGUGUUAUCGCACGAGCCUAGCUUCUGAGGGUAUAGGCCCGCCUUCCUGUAGCGAUAACAUUUGUAGACACGAAUAUACUCCAUGCAAGAGUUUUACCUUUUUUUCUAAAUCCAAUUCCUUGGACGCCAAACUCUCGAGACAAGACAAAGACAAGUCUGAUCGUUUCCUGUAAACCCGGACUGCGCUUUCAAAAAACAAUAAAGUCAGUCCCACUGAAACGUAAUAAGCGAUGCUACCUUUUCCAUACAAAUGCCAAUGAAAAACCCAUGAUGAAGACUCGGAAGUUUGCAAUUGAGCCUUCUGACGUAGCCCUGUCUUUUACAGCUCGAUGGCUGCCUCGUCUCUGUAAAGAAAAAGCCGCUAAACUUCCAGUCGUCCUCAACAAAUCGUUUCAUUUCCGCUAGAUCCCGGCCAAACUCGCUCAAGAGCUCGGGCAGAGACGUGAUGCCUGUCAAAGAAAAACAUAAGCCGAGUUGUAUGGCUUGAGAAACAAAAGUGGUAAACCGGGUAGCCACGUACCCACGCCAGAAGCAAAGCGCUCAAAUGAAUCUUAUCUGGUUCCUAGAGACCAGAUACGGGUGAAAAGAGAGAACUUAGCACCAAAAACCAAAACCACACCUCUUUGAUUCGUGGAGCAGCAAAUGGGGACUCUUGGGCUCUUCAGAAAAGCUAGGAAUCUUUGGCUCGGGACGCAUUUCACCAGCAUUCUCACAGGAAGAAGAGAGAACGAGAAAAACAUACCUGUAUCGCCGGCAAUGCCACCAAAAACCCUCUUUACAAGUAAAAAUCUCAUGGUUUUGAGCGUCUGGUUAGUUAAGCCAGUAAGAGCGCGUCUGGUUAGGCUAACAAGAGCUGUUAGCGGCCGGAUCGGAAUGUCCACCUCCAACUUUACGAUCCACUGCCGUUCAAACGCACUUCCACAAAUCAAAUAAUUAAUAAGUUCCGCUAUUUUACUGUUAUUUUCCAAAAUACGUUUGAAGGGCAACAAUAAAUAAUUUAUAUAAUCAAACAGGGCAAAACAUCUUUUCUGGGCUUAUAAGCUAAAUCAAACUUUUUUCUUGGGAUUGGAACUCGGAGCAAGAUGCUUGCUAUUAAAAUUACUUUAGAAGCUCUUGUCUAUACACUUAUCUACAUGUAAGCAGCUAUAAAAUUACAAUUAACUGGAAUUGUCACUAGAAAUAAUCAAGUUUAUAAAUCUACGCAUAAAUUAUAAAUCUAUAAUAUCAAAUUUUCAUAGCUUAGACUGUUUUAUUAUUUGUAUAGAAAUUACUAAUGUGUUUUUCCAAUUAUUAUUGGAGUUAUUAACUGUAUGCUGGUUAGUAGAAUAGUUAGUACAUUAGCAAGCUUAUACAUCUCAAAUCACUCAUGGUUUAUCGGAUAUCCUAUGAUUUCUUUAUUCAAGCUAGGUUGCAUAUUUUGGAUGCCACAAUGGCAAAAAAUCAACUUUGAUAUUGUUUUUUGUUAAGUGUUACUAAAUUAGACUUCACAUACUGCACAAGCAUAAAAAAGGAAUAAAUGUCUAUUUAACUCAACAUACUUGGCUUAGUUUGCAAGAAUCCGAAGGAAAGCUCCAGCUACUUGCGAGCAUGGGAUGGGGAGAUGUGAGCGUGAGAACGGUGAGGAAGGACUGCACAGAGAUAAAGACAGUAAUAUAUCCUCCGUACUCUUUCCCUCUGUUCCCACGUCCAUAGUGGAUGCAGUUUUAAAAGCAUCUUUAUACAAAGUUCACAUGAAUUUCCCCUAAACAUCGAAGUUUGCCCUGAAGAACUUAGCUUCCAGGAAAUAUGGAGUCAAGAUUUAUUUAUUUUUUCUUCCUUGUUUUUCUUGAGGACCGAGCUAAUGAUAUUUUGAAAAACUCGAUCAGUUUUUGUUCCUCAUUCGUUUGCUUUUCUUCAUGCAGACGUUCCAAAGUUCUCACAAUCGAUCUUCAACACUAACCCAUGGUAAAUGUCGAUGUUAAAGGGAAAUUCAGCUUUAGGUAGCUGUUUGUGAACUUGAACACGUAUGGACAGGGGAACAGAGGGAAAGAGUACGGAGGAUAUAUUACUGUCUUUCUCAUCUUAUCUCCCUGCAGUCCUUCCUCCCCGCUCUCAGGCUCACAUCUCCCCAUCUCAUGCUCGGCGAGUAGCUGGAGCUUUCCUUCGGAUCUCUUUUCCCUAUCCCUUGCUCGAUAACAGUGGUAUCGUAGCCACUUCGUCUGGGACACACGCUCGAGCGUCGUGAAGGAGACCAGUCGUUGGAGGUCGGCUAUCAGGUAAAGCGGCCGGAAUGUUUCGUUUCACUUUCACAGUUUUUGUUGACCGAUCUUCUCUGGACUGGUCGUGCAUAAAGGGAGGUAUUCAUAUACCCUUGUUCUUCCUUGGUGUGAGGCGGGCAAUGGCGGCACCAUAGAGGCGGCCGAAGGCGGCGAUUUCAGGGGAUUUACCAAGGUUUAGUCUUGAUGUUUUCGCAAGAUGAUAAGGUGCAUAUCCGAUCGGCAGGAAGAUCUGGACGACAGCUUGCGGGUCUUAGGAGCUGCAGUGACCAGGCCGAUGGGGGACUCCGGAAAGAGGAGGGCCGACCUUUCGAGUUCCAAGUACCACCAUUCAGCGGGAGCACGGUAGGGGAGUAAGCCUUCACUUUUGGGACAACAGCUUCAGAGUUUCCCAUUCCAAUGCGCGGGGGAGCAGUUCUCCAACAGGUCGACGGUCAGCGAGCCGAUACAAAGUAAUCCUCUGUAUCGUUUAGCACCCAUGCAGACUCGGGGAUUCUUCACAGCGGCGCCAGCUUUCAGCGGGAUAAGGGCCGGUUCAAGAGCGAGAGUUUCCGUGUAAUGGUCCUUCCCGGAGAGGCAGAGUGGGCAGGACAACAGGUGGGGCGGGUGGGGGGAAUCCAUUCCAAUCCACGAGAACUAGUAGGGAGUCUGGGAGUCAUGGCUGCGCAAGUUGAAGAGGUGGUUUCUUUGCCGUGGUCAUCGCGAUUCGCACAAGGUAGCCGGCUCUCCACUUGAAAGCCUGGCCUCCGAGUCCCUUCUUGCUCGAGACUGUAAAACCAGGCUUCCAAGUUGGGAGGAGUUCAAGCAAAGGAUUCGGGAGCAUUUUAUCAUCACGUCCGUGGGAGAGCUUCCCUUCAACAAACUCUGCGGAAUGGUGUACAGAUUUAAGUCCCAGACGCCCAGGAAUUCAACGAGACGUGGAACAUCCCGGAGGAUGCUUUGAUGCAACGUUACCUAGCAUCGCAAUGGCAACCGAAAUAGCUCAGCUAUCUCCUCGCUCGGUCCCGAUGGCAUUAGCAUUAAACACGGAUCUCAAGUUCCACGAGUGGGAAGCUCGUCUUUCCGGCCGAUGGAGGCAAGGGCCACCAAAGGAGACAACGAGGGCCGGAGCCACCCAGAGUGGUAUGCCAACUCCCGAUCAGCGGAAGCAAUGCAAGUAAAGGGAAGCGAUGACCUCAAGCUUGGGAAAUGUUCAUUGGGAAGUUUGCAAGGCGCGUAGAGGACAACCGACGUCGAAAACAAAGUUCGUGGUGAUGCAAUUCCACGUCUCGGACAAGGGGGACCUCAUUCCGUGCACUUGGGAGAAUGCAAAAGAUGACAAGGAUUGUUAGUCCUGUAGACGGAUGUACCACAUUGGCCUCAGGAGCAGCGAGAAGAGGAGGACGCGGGGCUUGAGGGAGAACUUUCUGUGGCGAAGGCAUGCAUCUCCUAUCCGACCUUUAUGGGAAAAGCUGCGGGUACUUGUUUCGGAGACAAAGGAACGAUUUUUGCAUUAAUUGACUCGGGAGUGACACCGUCAACCAACAUUCUCUAUCUAAGCUGCAGCUUGCAGCGCGUCCACAGAAGACUCCUCUAGAGGUGGAGAUAGCGGACGAGGGAGUCAUCGAGGCGUCUGCCCGGGUCUCAUGCUCGAUGCUCAUUGGUGGUCACCAAGUGAAAGGAGAGUUCUUCAUCCUGGAGACGGGAGCGAUGGACGUAGUACUCGGCAUCGAAACACUUCGCCUCUUUGGGGACAUUCUCGUCAACUUUGAUGAGCAUCGUCUCUCCUUCAAUCGGCUGCAAGGUCCAACCAGGAGGAUCAGUGCAUUUGGUUAACUGAAUGCUUGUACCAAGUUCCGACAUCUCCAGAACCAGUCACAGGGGAGGGGGAGCCAGAGAGAACCAGGUCGUUGGAGGAAGCAGUACACCACGGAAGCCAUUCGUGAGGUUGCAAGGAAGCAUUCAAGGGUCUUCCUCAAUCGAGUAUGUGCUCAUGAAGCAAUCACGCACAAGAUCCAACUCGAGAAAGGGAUCGUCACGACUGUUCAUUCAGCUGAGGCAUGUGGAGCGAGCGGAGGUGGAUAAGAUGAUCAAGGAGCUCAUGGACAAUCUCUUAAAGAGGACAGUUUCAGUCCUUACACGGCACCAAUAAUCUUGGUGCUAAAACGUGACUGCUCGUGGAGACUGUGCGCUGAUUACAGACAGCUCAACAACGUCACUCCCCAUCCCACGGAUUGAGGACUUAAUUGAUGAACUCGGUGAAGCAGCGUAUUUCUCCGAGCUAGAUUUGCGAUCUGCAUAUUAUCAAAUAUCCAUGGCAGAGAAGGACAGGAUCACGACAGCAUUUCAGACUCACAGAGGGUUUAACCAGUUUAAGGUGAGGGCUCACCAUCCUGGCCACCUUUCAGUCUCUCAUGAACAAGAUCGGUCAUUGUAUUUUUCGACGACAUCCUCGUCUACAGUCGAUCCUGGGAAGAACACCUUACACACAUCGACGAGGUUUUGCAAGUGCUAGAGGAUCAUGCGCUGAUCGUCAAACUCUCAACAUGCUGCUUUGCCAAGCAAGAAGCGAAGUACUUAGGCUUCCGGAUACGAGCGGGCCAAAUGUGAGCCUAUCCAACAAAAAUGGAGGCGAUGAGAGGUCUCUCACCACCAUGAAGUAGCUCCAUGCUUUUCUCAGGCUCUGCAACUACCUCUGGAAGUCUGUGGAGCACUAUGCUUCCGUUGCGUCGCCUCUGACGGACAUCAUUCGUGCAGGCAGGUUUUCGUGGGACGAGAACGCACAGUCAACGUUCGAACUUUUCGGCUCGGAUUCUUCAACUUCCAGAUGAGAAGCAGUUCAUCGUGGAGACGAUGCCUCGGAUGCAGGAGUGGGAGCGAUCUUGAAGUUCGAGAGCAAAAGAUUCUUGGAAGUGGAGUCUCGCCAGCCGGCGUAUGAUUGACAAAGUGGAGGCACUGCGAGGUCGCACGGAUCACUUCAGUAUGAAAUUUCUACUCGAGCAGCCUCGCCUUAACAAAAAGCAGAGGCAGCUUCAAUCACUCGAUUUCACGAUUGAGUAUAAGCCAGGGAAAACAAACGUCGUCCCGGAUGCGCUCUCAAGGAUGUUUGAAAAGCCGGAGGUCAGUUGUCACACCAGAUAUCAUAGAGGGCUAAUCCAACGAUGACCACUCGAAGGAGACAACAACUUCAGCGACGCGAAGAUUUCCUUCCAUGAUGGCUUGCUCUAGAAGAAAGGAAGGAUUCUACUCGAGUUCCGCAAGAUCAUCUUCACCAAGGCAUUUUCGCGGGGCAUCCGGGGGUCGUGUGGAAAGGAAUGGAGUGUGAGAUUACGCACUUGGAUCAGGGAGUGUCCAGAGAUUGGUCUUCUCAAGCAUUUACCUUCUCCAUCAGCGCCAGCUCUCGUCCUCAAGCUUCAAAGAAGGUGGCAGAGAUCUUCUGGAGGGAGGUGGUGAGGUUCCAUGGCGUUUCCAAGCGAAAUCGUCUCCAACCGAGACACCAGGUUUCUCAGCCAGUUUUGGUCAGACGGGACGGACGAUUGGAGACAUUCUGAGGGAUACGUGGCGGACCAGCUGGGCUCAUGGACAAAGUGGAUCACAUUCGCGGAGUUUGCCUACAACACUGCUCGGCACUCAACCAUCGGUAUGUCUNNNNNNNNNNNNNNNNNNNNNNNNNNNNNNNNNNNNNNNNNNNNNNNNNNNNNNNNNNNNNNNNNNNNNNNNNNNNNNNNNNNNNNNNNNNNNNNNNNNNAGUAGCUUCCCCGAUCUUGAUGACAACUCCCACUUCAUCAAACGACGUCAGUGACCAAGUGGAAGCCAUCAGGUAGAUGCAGCAGCUGAUUGGGCAACGGUUGGAAUCUCCUCGUGUAGUCACAGCUCCAUCCCAGAUUCUUCGGCCCACUCAGGAUACUCGAAAAGAUCAACGAACUCGCCUAUAAGUUGGCAUUACCACCGGGGUCGCACCUACAUAACGUUUUCGACGUGUCGGAUCUCAAGCUUUUGUGGACCAGCUCCCGGAGUUUUUUCCUGAGCCGGAGUUUGUCUCCUCCGACAGGCAGCCUAUGCUGCAACCGAAAGCACACUGGGAGAUACAAGGUCAGGUGGCACGGAACGGAUGACGAACAGGAACGGACCAGAGCUCCUCGAAACAGACCUGUUAGGACGUACUAUAAGCGCAUGAGAGUACGGAGGAUUUGUUACCAUCUUCCUCACAACAUUGCAGAUCAACUUCAAGCAAGUGAUGAGGUUGAUCACUUACAAGUUUUCCGUCAGUUUACUUUGGAUAUUCUCCUACUCUAAAUCUCCAGCGCCAUGGAUGCUUGCAUCGCGACUGGGAAUCCCGCGGUAUUCAGCAAAUCCUCACGUCCCGCUCUACUCUCGGUGAGCUGGCAUUCUUCUGAUUGAGCAAUAUUUCUCCACAGAGGCUGUGAAUUUCUGGAUGGCGAAUUCAGCUGUGUGGGACGACGAUGCCGUGCCAGCUGCUCACGAUAUCGCCAGGUUUUGGUGUGCGGGAUCCUCGUCUUUGAUUUCACUCAGAAGAUUUUCCUUGCUUCCAAGCCGGAGCAUUGUUUCUACAAGAAUCUAUUCAAUGACAGCAGCUGAAAGACACUGUCCGGUGAGUGUUUCCACGUUCUCUUGACAUCGAUUUUGCUUCAAUCGUUGUGGAAGUAAGUUCCAUCGAAUACCCCUGGUAAAGGGAUUCUUGUGCUUAAAUUCCUUUCUUUUUGCAUAGGAUCUAUUAGGGCUUGAAAGGUUGGGUAUGGAAAUUACUAGUAAGAGCGUUCCAUUGUGGUGGUUCUUCUUAUCUGUUUCAAUAAUUAUGACUUGGGCCAUUACUUUCUAUGUUUUCACCAUUUACAUCACUUUUUAUCCUCCAAAGUGGCACUGCCCAAGUGUAUUGUCAAAGAGACUGCAAUGCACUAAACCUUGGCUACCAUUGGGGUUUUACGUCAGAUUACUUGGCUUAUGUAACAAUUGGGCCAAAGUACUCUGCGAUUUGAUAUUGGCAGCUUGUUUGCUUCACUCACCACAUAUAUACUUUUUUGGUUGAUGCAAAGAUUUGCAGUACUGUCAGAGUGCGAGGGGGCCAUGGGGAAAAUCCUUGCCACUUCUUCGAGUGAGCCUGAUAUUAUUGUAGUUUAAAACACAAAUAAGGUGGCCAAAUGCCACUGCGUUGGCGAGCCCUGUCUGAGUCUUCCAGGAAUCCAUUCUGGGCGUAGCACAGCAGUAGAUUCGUCCAUGAUACGAGAUCCUUGGCCGGCAUUCUCCCUGGUGCGCGAGCUCCGUGAUCAUCGAGUUCCGUGUCACUCUGAGACGCGAUCGAACAUAGCCUGGCAGUCGCGGAUCCGGGAGGCUGCCACAUAUACGAGACAAGAUCGCGGAAAUCCAUCCCAUCAAACGUGUUCUUGGCAAGCGCAAGAUGCCCGGACUGAGCAUACAGUGUAAUGAGCGAGUUCCAAGAGACCACGGUGAUCCGGCAUGGAAACGAAGAUCUUCUUCGCUUGGCCGAGAUUGGAGCUCCGGAUGUAGAAUUGCACGACCUCGUUGCACGACACGAGAUGUCGCGAUGGGGCAUUCGAUCGAAGAGCCGGGAUGAUCUAAGACCUCGGCGGCAUUGGAGGGAUUUCGGCGAUCCAUCUCUUGUAUUCCACCAAUCCGCCGAUGAGAGAGGGCAGGCAGGCACGAAGACAUCGUCUCGAGCAAACUCUCGGCCUUCCGAUCUCGCGAGAGUAGUGAUCCCAUUGGAACGAUGCCAUAGUCAGCGAUCAUAGGCGACCAUAGACACGAACUGAUCGCGGGCGAUUAGGAUCUUGCAAGCCGAGAGGACGGUGAUGAACGAGACGAGGUCGAUCCUCACUCCGCCAUCGAGCGUGGUCGUGGAUGGCUUCCCUGUAAUGCCCUUUUUGGGCAUAUGUUUCCAUCAUCAAGUUCCAGGCAGCAAGAUCUCUCGUGCGCAUUGAGGCAAGAACAACUCGAGCCUCGAUCACACGGCCAUUGCGAGCGUAAGCGUGCAUCAAACUCGUCCUGCACUGGCAAUUCACUAUCUCGCCCGGGAUGCUGUCAAACGACAUUCCGAGAGGAUCGCGUUCCAGGUGAAAACAUUCCAUCUCGGCAUUUUGUGCUGGAUCAUGAGCGCGUCCUCCAUUCUCCCAGCCUGGCCGAGCAUCGAGACGAGCAUAUCAAGUCCCUUGCGGGCAUUUGCUGGUGGAUCCCCCUGGACAUAGGCGGCGGCAACGAUGUUUCUGUGGCACGCUCUGUCAGCCCAUUCCAGGACACGAGAGUCCGGAAUCCGGAAAAACAUCCUCUUGACCUCUUCUACAAGGCAUAGCCAAGUUCCUCGUCGCCAUCGUCUCAAACCUCCACCAAAUUCCCGAUUUGCACGAAAGCUCCGACAGCACGAGAUCUUUCUCGGGCUCAGUGUCGUAAAAAGCCUUAGUUAUACCCAUUUGCCUCAUCUUGGCAAAUGCUGGGAUUACAGCUAGGCAUUAGAAAUUUACAAAGGCUUCAAUGAAAAGAAUACAAUAAAUUCCUUUUAGCAUAUGCCCUGCUUGGCAUAUCCUCUGGUCCAAUACUCAUCCUCAGUGCAUCAAUGAGCGAGAUUAUGGAUACAACAUAUGUUACUAACACUUGGUUUUUAACCAAAGCUGCUGAAUUAAAAAAUUACUAGAGCAUCAGAACAUUUUUGUAUAUCAAAUAUGGAAUUAUAUACUCUUCCAUUAUUAACUAUAACCAUUCCCACCGGAUCAAGGGUAAAAAGUAAAUAUACCUGAUAUGAAACAUAUGGUAUAGAUUCGUCUCCAGUGCAUUCCUGUAUCCCUAUCCACCACCUCAUAAUUUGAUGAUGUCUCUGCAUAUGCAUGUGCUACUUGUAAAGCAAUGAAUGUAAAACAUAUGUGAGCUCCUCCAAUAGCAAAGCUAACUAGCAUAGACAACUGAAACAAACUGUUAAGCAAUUAUCCAUAAAUAAAUCUAGCUUACCUCCAGCCACAUAGCCCAGUGAUAGCAAAGUAUAUAGAUACGGAGUGAAGCAAGGAAGUUGUGCAGAAUAAUUUAGCCCAAACUUCCCAGUUCGAAUGUAGCAUGCAUAGAAACCCCAGUGGUAUUUAGGUGCCUCUUUAAAGGGCUAUAAUUUAAAUACACUAGUGUUUGGUUUUCUUUCAUCUUAGAACAAAUAGCUUUUCAGAAAAGAUCUCGGAGACAGUGAAGGCUGUUUUCGUUCUCGAAUCCAUAUAGCUAGAAACGCAAUAGCGACCACAAAUCUUUUAGUGAUAUUUAAGCACGAACUUUUUGUAAUGGUCGGCAAGCAGCUCGCGCGCAGACUGCACACAUCGCCUCUCAAAUUAUGUAUAUAUCCUUUUUCCAAUCUAGCUUUAUUUGUGGAGAUCUUGGCCGUUUUCGAUCUAGUAGCUACGUCUUGGAGCAGCUCAAGAGCCGGGAGCUUGAGCUGCACAGGAAGUGUUCCUGCCAUUUUUCCUUCCAUUCCUUUGAGUUUUGUUAUACCAUAAGGAAGGGAGCUGAAGCUCUAAAGGUGAGGCUUUCGCUUCUCCUUUUUUCUGAUCAUUGUUUCUGCAUGUGAUGGAAUCGGUUAGCAUCUCUCACGGUUAUAGAUACCACCAUCUUGGAUACAGACUUGAUAGCCGAGUGGCAAUCCCCACACACAUGAAAGAUCUCCUUCGUGUCGGGAACGUAGCCAGCGUGCCACAUUUCUCUCGCCAGCCUCUGGAGAUCCGCGACGAUAUCUUCGCUGUGACGAUGCGAAAGAUCCCCCACCACGAAACUGUGAACUUCGCUGCCAAACUUGAUCCCCGGAACUUUUCUCACUCGCCUCGACUUCAUCAGGUUCCGGAUCAUCGACACCUUGUCCCUCCUCCAGAUCGACGAGUACAUGUUCCAGAGAACCACGUAUGCAGUCGUGUAGCGUCGAAGAUCUUCGCCGUGACUUGCUCAGCUCAAUCGGCUUCGCGGUGGAUCAGGCGACAAGCUCCCAGCAGCGACAUCCAGAUCACGAUGUCUGGAAGGAAUGGCAUCGAGUUGAUGACGGUGCUCAGAGUUCUUCAUGCAGAAAUAGCGCUCUCUCCUCGGCACCAUCCCCAAGCAGACGAAGUGGUCCCAGCCCUCGGCCACGAGACCGAGAUUCAUAAGAUGGAAGACUUCCCCGUUUCGAGCAUAAGCCCACACCAAGGUCAUCUAGGAAACGAAGCUGCGCAUCUUCAUGCUCUCAAUCAUGCUCCUGGCGGCGCCGAGAUCGCUCAAAAACUUGCAGCAGACGAUGGUCUUGCCUGGAAGAACCUCACGGCCCCGCCAAAGUGCCCACUCUCGGCAUACGCGAGGAGCAUCACGCUCCACCAGACUGGAUUCUUUUCCGGGAUUUGAACGAAGAUUUUCUUCGCGAGGGCGACAAAGCCUUGGUAAGCUAAGCUUGCACAAUUGCCGUCCACGCCACCACGUCCUUAUCCGGCAUGGAAUCAAAGACCUCUCUCGCGUUGGCAAAAUCCCUUCUUUGGGCAUUCUCGUAGUUCUCCGGAGCCGAUGGAACACCCUGUCCAAUUCUUCCAGGAAUCAUUCUGCGGAUAGCACAGCAGUAGAUUCGUCCACGACAUGGCCGGCAUUCUAUCAAAACUCGAUUUUGCUGCCUCGAUUUUCCCCUGCGCGAGUGCUGUGAUCAUAGCUCUGGAACACGAUCGAUCACCGCCGGGCAGUCCCGGAUCUGGAUGCCGGCACAUAUCCAGCGAUCAUCGGGUUCCACGAGACAAGAUCACGAAACUCCAUCCCGUCAAAAGUGUCUUGGCAAGCUCAAGUUGCCCGAACUGGGGAUACAGUGUAAUGAGCAAGUUCUAAGAUGCCACGUCAUGAUCCGCCAUGGAAUCGAAGAUAUUCUUCUCCUGGUCGAGAUUGGAGCUCCGGAUAUAGGACCUCACGAUCACUUUGCAGAACAAGAGAUUCCAGUGGGGCAUUCGAUCAAAGAGGCUCUUGGAUCGCGCAAUAUUCCCCUCCCUGGCACAUUCGAUCGAAGAGCCGGGAUGCGAUCGAAGAGCUCGGCGGCAUUGAAGGUGUUCCCAGGAGUAUUUCGGUGAUCAAGAGAGAUCGCGCAUCCGCAGCGCUGCCGCAGCGCCCAUACAACUGGAUGAGGAGAUUGGCGAAGAAAAUAUCCUUGCCACGGCCAGCAGCCCUCACGAGAUCGGCCAGGAAAUGCCGCUCCUCUAGCCCUGCGAUCGCAGCAGUCAUUCGCCCCGACAUUGCUCUCGUUUUGGUUCUCGUGAUCAUAGGCGACCAUUGAUCGCGGGCGAUUUGGAUCUUCCCCAAAUGGCUGCAAGCCGAGAGGAUGGUGAUGAACGACACAAGAUCGAUCCUCACUCCACCGUCGGGCGUGGCCUCGUGGAAGAGUUGGAUGGCUUGCUCAGUUUGGGCAUAUGCUUCCAUCAUCAAGUUCCAGGCCGCAAGAUGCGAUCGUUUGACAGCAUCCCGGAAGAGAUCGUGAAUUGCUGCUGGACGAGUUUGAUUCACGCUUACGCUCACGAUGGCCGCGUGAUCGAGGCUAGAACUGUGCUCGCCGCAAUGCCCACGAGAGUAGAGGAUCGCGUAACGUUCCAUCUCGGCAUUUGGUGCUGGAUCUUGAGGGCGUCCUCCAUUCUCCCGGCCUGGCCGAGCAUUGCGACAAGCAUAUCAAGUCCCUUGUGGGCAUUUGGUGGUGGAUCGCCAUCGACAUGCCCGUGCUGGGCAUAGGCGGCAGCGAUUGCUGUAGGCAACUGUGGCAUUCGAUCAAACAGCAGCUUCGGUCUGUCCAGGAUGCCGUUUUCCAUCAGCCCAUUCCAAGACACGAGAUUCUGCUGGGCCAUCCGGGAAAACAUCCUCUCGGCCUCUUCUACAAGGCAUAGCCCGACACUAUUGUUGUCCACGAAACCAAGUCCCUCGUCACCAUUGUCUCAAACACACCUCGAGCCUAAUUCCCGAUGUGCAUGAAAGCUCUCACCAAUGAAGUUGAUAGUAUUGAGGUUAGUGAGAUCCAGGUGGCCUUGCCAGGUUACUGGAGGAUUUUUGAGUCAUGAUUCUUGGUUUAUCAAAUAUAAAUCCAUUGUUUCUUUUCAUGGUAUCAUAUCUUGGGACGAUGGCUCUCAUUAGUGAGGCGGAGGAUGAGCCACCUUAAUCAGAAGUGGAUGGCACUUGUUGGCUGACAAGAAGGUGAGCCACAAGAUCAUGGUUGCUGCACUAGAGCCCAGAUCAGGGCAGAGGCACUGGGUGCUGACUGAGACAGACAAGUGUUGCUAGAGGAGGUGAUGCCAGGGAGCAAGCUGUGUGCUGUGUGUGGUGUGGAGUACAAGUUGUGCUCUAGAUGCUGCCAGUAGAGGUGUUGGACAGUGCUGGACGUGCUGUCUAGAGGCGCUGGGAAGAGCCGCUGCUGAGGCGACACAUGAUGGGUGCUUUGAAAGGCACUGGAUGGAGGAUCCAGAGGAGGAGCAGUUUCAGUAAAAAUUCAACGUAAACCAUCAAUAUGUUCACCUGAGAGCAAUAGUGUUGUUGGUCAAUCCCAUACAUGUAUUGAAGUAGGGAUGAUGAGAGAAGAGCAGGCUCAUUUUAGGGCAAACGUGGCCUAGAUGAAAUGCAAUUUGUAUGGAUCAUAGUGGCACGAUCCAGGGCCUCAAUACAACGCAGGUCACCUUGAGAGAGCAGUUGAGGAUGAGAGGGAGACCUAGAUACUCAAAAGGAAUAUAAGAGGGAGACUUCCAAUGGACACCUGGUGUCUCGGUUGGAGACGAUUUCGCUUGGAACGCCAUGGAACCUCACCACCUCCCUCCAGAAGAUCUCUACCACCUUCUUUGAAGCUGAGGACGAGAGCUGGCGCUGAUGGAGAAGGUAAAUGCUUGAGAAGACCAGGUGUUGCGACUAUCUCUGGACACUCCCUGAUCCAAGUGCGUAUCUCACACUCCAUUCCUUUCCACACGACCCCCGGAUGCCCCGCGAGAAUGCCUUGGUGAAGAUGAUCUUGCAGAAUCCUUCCUUUCUUCUAGAGCAAGCCGUCAUGGAAGGAAAUCUUCGCGUCGUUGAAGUUGUUGUCUCCUUCGAGUGGUCAUCGUUGGAUUAGCCCUCUAUGAUUUCUGGUGUGACAACUGACCUCCGGCUUUUCAAACAUCCUUGAGAGCGCAUCAGGGACGACGUUUGUUUUCCCUGGCUUAUACUCAAUCGUGAAAUCGAUUGAUUGAAGCUGCCUCUGCUUUUUGUUAAGGCGAGGCUGCUCGAGAAGAAAUUUCAUACUGAAGUGAUCCGUGCGACCUCGCAGUGCCUCCACUUUGUCAAUCAUACGCCGGCUGGCGAGACUCCACUUCCAAGAAUCUUUUGCUCUCGAACUUCAAGAUCGCUCCCACUCCUGCAUCCGAGGCAUCGUCUCCACGAUGAACUGCUUCUCAAAGUCUGGAAGUUGAAGAAUCGGAGCCGAAAAGUUCGAACGUUGACUGUGCGUUCUCGUCCCACGAAAACCUGCCUACACGAAUGAUGUCCGUCAGAGGCGACGCAACGGAAGCAUAGUGCUCCACAGACUUCCAGAGGUAGUUACAGAGCCUGAGAAAAGCAUGGAGCUACUUCAUGCUGGUGAGAGACCUCUCGUCGCCUCCAUUUUUGUUGGAUCGGCUCACAUUUGGCCCGCUCGUAUCUGGAAGCCUAAGUACUUUGCUUCUUGCUUGGCAAAGCAGCAUGUUGAGAGUUUGACGAUCAGCGCAUGAUCCUCUAGCACUUGCAAAACCUCGUCGAUGUGUAUAAGGUGUUCUUCCCAGGAUCGACUGUAGACGAGGAUGUCGUCGAAAAAUACAAUGACCGAUCUUGUUCAUGAGAGACUGAAAGGUGGCCAGGAUGGUGAGCCCUCACCUUAAACUGGUAAAACCCCUCUCUGAGUCUGAAAUGCUGUCUUCAUCCUGUCCUUCUCUGCCAUGGAUAUUUGAUAAUAUGCAGAUCGCAAAUCUAGCUCGGAGAAAUAGCUGCUUCACCGAGUCCAUCAAUUAAGUUGGGAUGGAGAGUGACGUUGUUGAGCUGUCUGUAAUCAACGCCCAGUCUCCACGAGCCGUCACGUUUUAGCACCAAGAUUAUUGGUGCCGUGUAAGGACUGAAACUGUCCUCUUUAAGAGGUUGUCCAUGAGCUCCUUGAUCAUCUUAUCCACCUCGCUCUACAUGGCUCAGCUGAAUGAAAGUCGUGACGAUCCCUUUCUCGAGUUGGAUCUUGUGCGUGAUUGCUUCAUGAGCACAAACUCGGUUGAGGAAGACCCACUUCCUUGCCACCUCACGAAUGGCUUCCGUGGUGUACUGCUUCUUCCAACGACCUGGUUCUCUCUGGUUCCCGUGACUGGAGAAGUCGGAACUUGGUACAUGGUUGGACCUUGCAGCUAGGCCUGAGAAAGCUGAAGAUGUCGUUUCGAAAGGAUCUCUUCUGGUUCCCAUCCAUUGGAAGAAGAAUCCCUGUUUCUGAAUCAUACGCCAUGGGACAUCCUCCUCUCGCGAUCAACCCCCGGCAUUGUCCAGCGGUUGCCCGUGUCUUCUUUCCAAUGUCCACUCCCCCCUCCAGACGAUCUUGCUCCCCUGGUGAUUGAAGGAGAGACGAUGGUCAUCAAAGUUGACGAGAAUGUCCCCAAAGAGGCGAAGUGUUUCGAUGCCCAGGAUGAAGAACUCUCCUUUCACUUGGUGACCACCAAUGAGCAUCGAGAAUGAGACCCGGGCAGACGCCUCGAUGACUCCCUUGUCCGCUAUCGACACCUCUAGAGGAGUCUUCUGUGGACGCGCUGCGAGCUGCAGCUUAGAUAGAGAAUGUUGGUUGACGGUGUCACUCCCGAGUCAAUUAAUGCGAAUGCUUCCUGCUAAUCGUUCCUUUGACUCGGAAACAAGUACCCGCAGCUUUUCCCAUAAAGGCCGGAUAGGAGAUGCAUGGCUUCGCCACAGAAAGUUCUCCCUCAAGCCCCGCGUCUACCUCUUCUCGCUGCUCCGGAGGCCAAUGUGGUACAUCGGUCUCUUGUCCGAGACCUGGAAUUGCAUCACCACGAACUUUGUUUUCGACGUCAGUUGUCCUCUAUGCGCCUUGCAAACUUCCCAAUGAACAUUUCCCAAGCUUGAGGUCAUCGCUUCCCUUUACUUGCAUUGUUUCCGCUGAUCGGGGGUUGGCAUACCACUCUGGGGUGGCUCCGGCCCUCGUUGUCUCCUUUGGUGGCCCUUGCCUCCAUCGGCCGGAAAGACGAGCUUCCCACUCGUGGAACUUGAGAUCCGUGUUUAAUGCUAAUGCCAUCGCUUGCUGGACCGAGCGAGGAGAUAGCUGAGCUAUUUCGGUUGCCAUUGCGAUGCUAGGUAACGUUGCAUCAAAGCAUCCUCCGGGAUGUUGGUCACCUCGUAUCUCGCCUUAAGCCACGUCUCGUUGAAUUCCUGAGCGUCUGGGACUUAAAUCUGUACACCAUUCCGCAGAGUUUGUUGAAGGGAAGCUCUCCCACGGACUUGAUGAUAAUGCUCCCGAAUCCUUUGCUUGAACUCCUCCCAACUGGAAGCCUGGUUUUACAGUCUCGAUCGAGAUGGGACUCGGUCUUGUCAUCAUAGCUCAGCUACAUAGAAAAUAUUUAGUUUACCAGCAUAACAAAGAAAAGAAAAGAGAACUUGAUAUACCACUACUGUAUUCUCUUUAAGUGCAGCAUCCAUCUCAAAAACGUGUAGCUUGACAAUUGGGAUUGUUAUCAUGCUUUGUGUGCCACCUCCAGACUUGCAAUCGUGGAGGGUGCUCCCAUUCAUGUGCAGUCCAGUUAACACUUUGCAUGUGACACAUGUCACAGCACUUUUUUCUUUCGCCUCAGGCAAAUGGCCACCUCCAGAGCAAACAUCAACACGAUUAUUGCUAAGAUGUGGUUAAAAAAAUAACCUUUUUACAAUUAACCCCCAUCAGACGGCUGCAAUUGACUGGAUCUGGUGGCACUCCUACAGUUCCUUUUCAUGUUAUUUAAAUAACCUAUAUAGGAUUACUUAUUAGGGCUUGACAGCUUGGGUAUGGAGAUUACUAGUAGGAGCAUUCCAUUGUGGUGGUUCUUCUUACCUGUUUCAAUUAUCAUGACCUGGGCAAUUAGUUUCUAUGUCUUCACCAUCUAUAUCACAUUUUAUCCUCCAAAGUGGAAUUGCCCAAGUGGUGUUCUUUAUUGUCAAAGAGACUGCAAUGCACUAAACCCUGGCUACCAUUGGGGUGUUACAUCACAUUACAUGGCCUAUGUGAAAAUUGGGCCAAAAUACUCUGCCAUCCGAUAUUGGCAGCUUGUUUGCUUCACUCAUCAUGUAUAUACGUUUUUAUCAGUGGGCUAUAUUACUGGAGGUAAUAUUAGAACAGCUGUAUAAAAUAUUAUUGCUAAACUGAUUUUACAGUUAUUGUUGGAAUCGUUACUCUCUUCCACUACAGGUUCUUUAUGCUAGUUAGUAUUUUUAUUGGAGCAGCUAGUGCAUUAGCUAGCACAUAUGUCUCAAAUCGCUCCUGGUUUAUCAUUUGGCAAGUUUUAUCUGCAACAGCACAUUCUUGUGCAGGAACAUCAGCCGUAAUGAGAUGGUUCAUGGAAUCACCUUAUUUUAUUGGUUGGAAAAGAUGGCUUUUUCCAAAUCAUGGGUUUGCCGACUGCCAGGGGGGAGAUUACAACCUUAUAGGUGAAGUAAUUAGUGAAUAUCCUAUAUGGUCUAUUUGUGUGCCAGGUUGCAUACCUAUCACUUUUGUAUGUAAACAUCUAUAUCCAGACUGGAGGUGGGGAAACAGGAUGGUGUGUGUCAUGGACUCUAUUGUUGUUGUGGUGUUAAUGGGAGAAAUGUUAGGACGAGUUUUGAUGAACAAAAGAAACAGUGGGAGAGUAGCAAAUGUUUCCAAUUAAGCAUGUAAUAUUAAAGAGUUUGAACUUUGGGCUGGUUAAAAUGAGAAUUCACGUGCCACCACAGAUAAUGCAAGUGUUCACAGGUUUUUUUUAACAUAUAGCAGCAUAGACAAGAAAUCACCUCUAAACAUUAAACAUUGCACACCUUCUAAAUGAAAAUGAAUGAGAGAGAGAGAGAGAGAGAGAGAGAGAGAGUCACCCAGUCUACCAGUGCCUUUAUGCCUUAAGAAGUUCUUCAAAAGAUAUCUUCCAAAGACAACCUCACUGCUAAGGACUUCUAUGUACUGGUGUGGUUUUGGUUUUUGGUGCUAGGGUAAUUCUCUCUUUUCACAUGCUGGAGAAGAUUCAUUUCAGCGCUUUUCUUCUGGCGUAGAUACAUGGCUACUUGGUUUACCACUUUUGUUUGUUUGGCUCUUUCUUUUUUCUGAGCUCUUUGAAAGAGUUUAAACACAUUUGAGAGGUGGUAAUGAUUUGUUGAGCACAACUAGAAGUUUAGCAGUUUUUUUCUUUUCAGAGACGACCAUCGAGCUGUUGAAGACAGGGUUCUAUGCCAAAGAGCUCAAUUGCUACAUUCAGAGGCUUCAUUUGUAUGGAAAAGCUGGCGUCGUCUCUCCAAAGGGACUAACUUUAUCGUUUCUUAGAGGAUAGCAUGGAAGACACUCAGGUAGUCUGAGUUUGUAAGAAAUGAUGAGACUGCUCAAACAUGUCAUCAUCUAGGGUCCAAGGAAUUGGAUUUACAAAAGAAGGUAAUGCUCUUCCAUAAUGUUAUCCUUACAGAGGAAAGGAUGACUCAUACACUCACAAGAUAGGCUUGUGGGAUCAAACAAAACGGGUUAUCAAAAAUUUAUUGGACCUUGUUCGAGAUGUGGAUCCUGAUGCUCCAACUUGAGAAGGCUUACAGUUGUAUCAUGCUGGAGUUUAUCUCCUCCGACAGGCAGCCCAAGACAGUGGUGGACACUGAAGAGCGACAGUUACGCAACUGAUCACUUCGGAGAUACUAGGUCAUGUGGCACGGAAUGGAUGAAGAACAGGACACUUGCGUAACAGACCAGGAGCCGAGGCAGCUAUUUUGAUGCUCUUCAGUGGACCACUCUGACUCAGGAUAUAUUACAAUCUUUCUCAUCUUGUCUCUCUUCCGUCCUUCCUCACCAGUCUAAUGCUCCACUGGUGCUGUGCUACUUGCUGCUACUGGUGGCAAUGCCCAGGCAGGUGAUGCUCAAGCUCGAAGGUCGUUGUCCCCUCUCUUGGCUCUCCUGGGGCUUUCCACCCUCACCGUUGCUAUGGUGGAGAAGUAGAACAGCGAUCAGACAGAUUACCACCACUUGGCCAUCAUGUUGGCCUUCAUCGCUGCAUUCUUGGGUUUCUUCUGUGUCUUUAGGCUCUUCACGAUGAUUGCCAAGUUGCCUGCUGGAUGGGGACGAGGACUUGCGAUCCUUUGUUCUUUGCUGGUGCUCAGUCUUGUAUCUCCUGGGUUUUCGCUCGCGUUUCAGCACUAGCCGCCACAUGUCUGAGGAAUCUACGUCGUAGCAUCAGCCUUUCCUCUUGGCUUGCACGGAGUUCUUCGUCUUACUUUCCCACGGUCAACCUUUGUACGUCGUGUUCUCGGUGUGUUUUCUCGUUUUGGGAGAAGGACUAUGCCCAUGCAGGAGGAGCUGCUCGUGCUAUGCUCGUGCAUACGGUCUUCUUUUUCUUCUGUUACAAAAAUAGAAAGUAGAAAGUCUUCUUGUAUCUUUUUCUAAUGCAAAUGACUUGGAUUUGAGAGAAUUGGCUACUUCCUUCCGAUUCUGAAGUAGAAUGGAACUUCUGCGCUAUCAGAUUGUCCACGAACCACAUCACUAGGACAAUCUGCUCUCUGCAAGCUACAGUGUUUUGCAUCAAGCGCUCGUGUCACAAUGUACGCCAUGCUCUUAGGCAGGCCAGAUGGCAAGACGAACAGAAAAAGCAACAAGCCAUGUAGACUAACAGCAAACUAACGUGCCUAGACUCGCAAGUAAGUGUCAGAGAAAUCGUAUCCAGCAUAUCCGAAUUAAUCCAGUGUCUGGAUUAUCAACAAAGACACAAGAAAGUUAUAAGAGUUUCUAGCAAUAGCUCUCUUACCUGCGGUACGAUAGAGGACACCCAUCCUGCCAAUCCCAAUUUCCUGGGAGCGUUAACCAGCGACAACACCUGAAAAAGAUUGCUCACGAACAAAGCCUCUACAAUAAGUUCUCUACCAUCGUGAACAAACCGGUCUUGGAGACCAGUCGCUUCAGGGAAAUCCGUGACUGCAGAAAGCAGCAAGAAAAUUUUGUUUUGCUCUUUCAGUACAAGCAUGACCAGAGGCUUGCAUACCGUUGACUUCUUUAUCCCGUACAUACAAAGUCUCUCAAAGAAUACAUUAAACUCAAGGAGAGUGUAACUGUGAUAGCUGUCAGCCUAUCAGAAAAAAAAAAGAAGAAAAAGAAUCAGAAUCCGAAGGAAAGCUCCAGCUACUCGCCGAGCAUGAGAUGGGGAUAUGUGAGCGUGAGAGCGGUGAGGAAAGGACUGCAGAGAGAUAAGAUGAGAAAGAUAGUAAUAUAUCCUCCGUACUCUUUCCCUCUGUUCCCCUGUCCAUACGUGUUCAAGUUCACAAACAGCUACCUAAAGCUGAAUUUCCCCUUUAACCAUGGGUUAGUGUUGAAGAUCGAUUAUGAGAACUUUGGAACGUCUGCAUGAAGAAAAGCAAACGAAUGAGGAACAAAAACUGAUCGAGUUUUUCAAAAUACCAUUAACUCGGUCCUCAAGAAAAACAAGGAAGAAAAAAAAAAAUCAUGACUCCAUAUUUCCUGGAAGCUAAGUUCUUCAGGGCAAACUUGACACCAUAGGCACUGGAUAAGCUUUCGAUGUUUAGGGGAAAUUCAUGUAUAAAGAUGCUUUUAAAACUACUGGACGUGGGAACAGAGGGAAAGAGUACGAAGGAUAUAUUACUGUCUUUCUCAUCUUAUCUCCCUGCAGUCCUUCCUCACCGCUCUCACGCUCCCCAUGCUCGGCGAGUAGCUGGAGCUUUCCUUUGGAUCUCUUUUCCCUCUCCCUUGCUCGAUAACAGUGGUAUCGUAGCCACUUCGUCUGGGACACACGCUCGAGCGUCGUGAAGGAGACCAGUCGUUGGAAGUCGGCUAUCAGGUAAAGCGGCCGGAAUGUUUCGUUUCGCUUUCACAGUUUUUGGUGACCGAUCUUCUCUGGACUGGUCAUGGAUAAAGGGAGGGAGGGGAUUCAUAAACCCUUGUUCUUCCUUGGUGUGAGGCGGGCAAUGGCGGCACCAUAGAGGCGGCCGAAGGCGGCGAUUUCCCAAGGUUUAGUCUUGAUGUUUUCGCAGCACAAGAGAAGAUGAUAAGGUGCAUAUCCGAUCGGCAGGAAGAUCUGGACGACAGGUUGCGGGUCUUAGGAGCUGCAGUGACCAGGCCGAUGGGGGACUCCGGAAAGAGGAGGGAGUUAGGCGCCGACCUUUCGAGUUCCAAGUACCACCAUUCAGCGGGAGCACGGUAGGGGAGUAAGCCUUCACUUUUGGGACAACAGCUUCAGAGUUUCCCAUUCCAAUGCGCGGGGGAGCCAGCGAGCCGAUACAAAGUAGCACCCAUGCAGACUCAGGGAUUCUUCACGUUCUCAGCGGGAGUUUCCGUGUAAUGGUCCUUCCCGGAGAGGCAGAGUGGGCAGGACAACAGGUGGGGCGGGUGGGGGGAAUCCAUUCCAAUCCACGAGAACUAGUUUAGGGAGUCUGGACCCUCUCGGGCUGGGUGGAGUGCGUGGGACUCAUGGCUGCGCAAGUUGAAGAGGUGGUUUCUAUACUGUGGUCAUCGCGAUUCGCACAAGGUAGCCGGCUCUCCACUUAAAAGCCUGGCCUCUACCUCAGUAUAGAGAAUUUCCUUGAUCUCAACUAUGGGGCAUUUUUCACUCCCGUAGCUAGAAACAAUGGAAAAAGUCACCAAUGAACAUUGGCUAUCAAGAACAAAGAACACAUACCAGACGUGGAAUGAAGUUUUGCAUGAAGUGCCAUAAAUGUUGUAGAACUUAAAAUCUUUUGGAAGUUUUGUAAAGAACCAUAAACAGUAAGACUCAUUUGCCCACUCAAAAAUGCAUCUAUUGAAAGGUAUACGUUGGUAAGUCUCUCCUGUUUUAUAUCCCUUGUAUAUAUACUCAAGUUUAUCUUAACUCAAAAAAACCUUGUGAUUAGUUUUAGCACUAAAUUUGUUCUUGCUGGGAGAGGCCACCAAAUCCAGCCAAUGGCAGCAAGGUAAUUGUAAAAGGGUUAUCUCUUUAACCACAUUUUAGUGAAUAAUAGUGUUAAUGGUUACUCUCAGUCAAUGGGAGGUGGCCAAUUGUGUGGGGUGAAAGAAAAAGGCAUUACAACAUGUAUCACAUGCAAAGUGUUGACUAAUAUUGGCACUCAACUUUUUGCAAUAGAGAACCUUUAAAGGUUUCGUGUAGAGCACCUAGGAUGACAGCAGGCUUAACUAUUGGCAGCUUCAAGUUGUGAUUCAAGUUUAUAUUUCAAUCUCUUUCCCUCGAUUUAGGGUUUAGUGAGCUAUGGUGUGUGCUCUUGCCAAUCCCUGGCAAUGGCACCUCACAUUCAUCCCAAAUGCACAAAUUCUUGCAUAGUGCCCUUCUUUUAUCGCUAUGACUGCUGGUUUGUUACCUCUUUUGGGAAUUGAGACAAGCUACAAUGCCACUAGAGUUACUGUUGUAAGUGGAUUUUCUUGUAGUGAGAUUGCAUUUUCUCAAAACUUUUUAUCAAGUCACUAGUGAUGGAAAAAUUUUGGGAGAGUCACUGAGAUCAUAGGUACUUUUUUUUUCUCUCUUCUUCAUUUUUAUUCUAUUUUGUUUUCAAGGUAGAGUUGAUUUGAGAAUAUGGUGGUAUGACACCUCUAGCAACAUGUCUAAACCACAAGCAAUUGAUGAAGUAAGCUAUUCUCCUUUCAAUGGAAGUUUUGAGAGUUCUUUUUUGUUCUUUAGGUGGUGGCACAAGCUCUAGAGAAUGCAAAAGUGAAAGAGUCAAAACUUGCAAUAGUAGUUGUGACAAUUGGUCUUGGCUUGAGUUUAUGCUUGGAUAGUAAUGUUCUUUGUGAUGUUUCUUGAGCUUAUUGUCGUGCCCAAUGCUUAGAGGAUUAUGUUGAGCAUCACAUUGAAGAAUUACUUGGCAUGUAAUUUCUCAGGCACUGGCAUUAGAGGAAUUCACAACUUACAUGCUUCUCAUUGUGGCAAAUCCACAUGGUCAUCAAGAUGGUAAGUUUUUUACUUUUUUUACCAAGUGAAUUCAUGGGUGUAGAGGUUAUGAUAUUAGGUGCUAAGUGCUGGCCAGACUUUGAUAAUGAGUUUUAUCUUUUGCUAAUUGUGUUGCCAUAGUGAUAGGAGUGUGGUAUCAAAAGAUUUUGGGUUAUCCAGGUGGCAAUAUAUAGUGCUCUUGUUAAUCUAACCAAUGACAAAUUGUACUAUUGAGGUGAUAGAUUAUGUAUAUCUUUGGUGCCAUCACCAAAUCAAAAUCCAUUAGUGGCAGAGAUUUGAAUUCUAUUUAAUGGGUUAUCCCAAGAGAGUGAAUAUUUUUUAUAUGAAUAAUUUUAUUUUUAAUUUAUGAAUAAAAUAAUCAACUUUACCUACUUAUUCUAUAUUUUAGGGCAAAAUUAACUUUCAUAAUUUAAUUUAAAAAUAUUUACAAAUAUAAUAAGAAAAUUAUAUUCUAUACAAAUGGCCUAUCUAAAUAUCUAAAACAUAUAAAACCCAACACCAUAUUAAAUGUGGUUGACUUAAUUUUAUGAAUGUGUAAGGCUAUGAUCAAAACUUCAAGUGUUAAUACAAAAACAUUAAACAACUUUAACAAUAAGAGUACAAACUUUAUUUUUAUAUGUAGCCUUAGCUAUUUACAAUCUAAUUCAUUAGCAAAAAAAAAACAGAUAAUAUAUGCAAUAUUUGAUUAAACAGUAUUUUAAAAUCUUUUUCCUAACUGCAAAUAUAAGUUAUUAGUAUAUGAUUCUAUGGAAUAUAAUAGUUGAAUUAUAGUUUCUAUAACAUAUAUGUACAAAUAAUUAUUUUCUUGACUGAAUUUGGGUAAUAAUAUAUCAAUGUUCCUAAAAACUUAUUGUUUUAUAUUCUAAGUAAAAUGCAUAAUUAAGUAAUGUCUUGCAGUAAUUAUUCUCUUUUUUUUGAUAAAGUAUUAAUUUAAGUUUAUCAAUAGAAAAUUCAUUUAUACUCUUUUCUGGGUCAGGUAUUUUUUAAAAUAUAUUUAUAUUUCUAAAUAAUAAUUUGUAUCUUAUAUUUUAUUAAUGAAUAUUUAUUCUUACUUAUGCCUAGGAAUAUGUUUGUUCUAGAUAUUUAUAUUAUCAAAUUUACAAGAAUUGAUUUUUGUAUUAAUCUAGCAUUUUUUAUGCAUAAUUCCCUCAAUUCUUCUUUCAAAAUGGAAUACAAUAUUUAUUAUUUUGAUACUAUUCUGAUUUAUUUUUUAAUAUAUUAAAAGAUCAAACAAUAUUUUACUAAUAGCACAGCAUUUUGUUUUCUAACAGGCUGAGAGCUAUUUGCUUUGAACCGAAAGUUACACUCAGACAGUCUCAUGGAUUCACCUCGGGUUUAUUGUGUUCCAUGAGGCACUUGUCGGUACGAGUAAAAGAAGUCAUGGUGCUACUGCUUUGUACUUCCUCAAAGAGUAACGGCAUAAACGCUUUGGCUUCUUUGUGCAGUCACACAUACAACACGUAUUUCCUGAAGCGGCUGGUCUCCAAGACGUGAUGGUCGUAGAGAUUGUGGAGGCUUUGUUAGAGGUCCUUAUUUAAGUGCGAGCCAUCUUUUGCAGGUCACUGGUUGACGCUACCAGGAAAUGCUAGAGGAUGGGUGCAUCCUCCAGUCACCAUUUGAUGGAUGUUAGUGCAGGUAAAAGAAUUAUUGCUAGAAACUCUUAUAACUUUCUUGUGUCUUUUUUGAAUUUCCAGACACUGGACAUCCGCAUUUGCUGGAUAUGAUUGCUUUGAGAAUUACUUGCGAGUGCAGACAUGUUAGUUGUUCUCUUAUUCUUGUUUGUCUUGCUAGCUCUCAGCUCAGACUUGCCUAAGAGCAUUGGCAUACAUGGAGCCAGAAAAACAUCAAAGCCUUGACAAGCCCAAUGGACGAGCCUUUGAUGCGAAGACUGUAGGACAAAAUGCUUGACACGGUUGGAUACCUAAUAGUGCAGAAAGCUUCAUUGUACUUCGGAAUUGCUUGCAGCCUAUAUAGCCAGCUUUCAAUCACUUGCAUAGACAAAAAAACUAGAGUGCAUUUAGCAAGAAAAAAACAUACAAGAAGAGCUGCUUUCUAUCUUCUAUUUCUUGCGAAAGAAUGCAAUGAAGAAAGCUACAUUUGCACACGCAGUAGUAAUGGCUCCCGUGAGAUGGGCGUAGUCCGUCUCCCAAUGGGAGAAAAUUCCCCACAGCAAAGCUGACACAAGAGAAAACAGUGAGAACCCGAAGUACAGAAAUGACCGUGGGAAACCAAGCCGAAGAACUCCGCGCAGGCCAAGAGGAAAGGCCGAUGCUACGACGUAGAUUCCCGCUGUGACCCAGACGCGUGGCGGCUGGUGCUGAAACGCGAGCGAAAACCCAGGAGACGCAAGGCUGAGCACCAGCGAAGAACACAGUAUCGCGACUCCUCGUCCCCGUCCAGCAGGCAGCUUGGCAAUCACCGUAAGCAGCCCAAACACACAGAAGAAACCUGAGAAUGCAGCGACGAAGGCCGACACGAUAGCCAAGUGGUGGUAGUCUAUGAGAUCCCUGUUCCACUUCUCCACCAUAGCAACCGCAUUGAGGCUGGAAAGUGCCAGGAGAGCCAAGAGAGGGGACAACGACCUCAGCAUAUCGUCACCUGAAGAUCCUCGAGCUUGAGCAUCACCUGCCUGGGCAUUGCCGCCAGUAGCAGCAAGUAGCACAGCACCAGCUCCCGCAAGUGGCACAGCAGCAGCCACACCAGGGUCUCCCUCAUGAGCCAUCACACCAGCAUCUCCCUCAGCAGGUGUGUCUCCCAUGGACACGCUAUCUCCUCCCUGAGCCGUCUCAACAAUCUUGUCUCCCGUGGGCACAUCUCCCUCCGUCACAAUGAUCCCCGUGAGAUCUUCACCUGGAUGGACAUCUCCUUCACCCACGCACUCGUCCUGUGCACCAGUGUCUCGCUCACCUGCAGCAGCGUUUCCCUCAGUUGGACCAGCAGCAGCGUCUUGCUCCGGCAUAUCCACAACGAUGUUGGUAGCGUCUCCCUCCGGCAUGGCAGCGGCGGCUCCCUCCAGCACAUUUGCAACACCAGCGUCUUCCUCCGGCAUGCCACCGGUGUCUCCCUCCAGCACAUUUGCAACGCCAGCGUCUCCCACAUCCACAAAGAUCCUAGUCGCCUCUUGGCCACCAAUUUGAGCCGCGCCAUCGCCCAGAACACCACCGCGCGCUGGAUCCACGCCCAGAACACCACCGCGCGCUGGAUCCACUCCAUGGCAAAACGCUGCUAGCGCUAUCGAAGCCACUAGAGAAGACAGCAUUGACAAAAAUCCUAGCCAGAAGAUUCGUGAUUUGGUGAUCUCCUCGGCAGGAAUCGCGUCUGUAGGAACCUUGUGUGCCUGAUGCUGGAACGGAUCCAAGAAUGCUGGCACUGGCGUUGUGGGGAAGUAUAUCUUGCUCCAGAGGAUCCAGACCACGAGCCCAAAUGCAAUCACGCCCACAGCUCCAAGCCGACCGCGUCUUGCUCCCCGCAGCUCCAGACCGCGUCUUGCUCCUCGCAGCUCCAUUAGGUCUUGGAGAAUGGCACAAGAUCUUCGCGUUUAAGAACACACACCCUCAUAUGUCCUAGAACCGACCAAGAUCUCAAAAAAGAAUAAGAGCGUCCUUCUUUGAUAUCUUGGAGUGGCUUCGUAGAAAAGAAUGUAGCUUUUUGCUCAGGCUUUCACAAAUCCAGUGGCUUUCUCCGGCCUCCGGCCUUCAUUCUGUGCACAUCUAUGAAGCUUGUGGAAAAUGUGACAAUACCUCUAGUUGCGCUGAAACAGUCCCUGCGAGCUCCCGACUGAACAGAUUGACACGAAUCUGUACAAGGAAUUGUCAUGACACGCCUACCUGAAUGGAUCGCAAUCGCAGCAGAAGUUCUGGAACGCAGCAAGCUCUCUUCUAUUGCAGGAAAUGAUCUAAGAAGAAGAACAAGAUGCAAGAACAGUGCUGGGAUUAAAUAAGCACAAACUUUGAGGCAGCAGACUGACCAGAUCUCGAGAACCUUAAAAGAAAACCUGAUAGUCCUCAGGCAGAAGUACAGGUUCGUAAGUCUACUACUUCUUUAAGCUCUGAAAGAUGUCCAGAAAGUAGUGACGUUAGUGACCAAGAACGACAAGGAAAUCAACAGCAGUAUUUCAUUAUCAACGAUAUACCUGUGUUUGUCAAGAGAGUACGCAACUGUGUCCGAAUCUGGUAGACCUGCUCGAGAAGUAAAGUCCAUUUAUUGCACAGAAUGUCCUGUCUGUAAGUUCGACUCUCUUUGUAUCUUCAGCUUUCAAUUAACGGAUGUUUUGAGUUCACGAGACUUCUCAAAGAAACUAGAGAAGCAUCGCAUUACCAAAUAGCCGUCACGGACGUAGAAUGGCAUUGCUGAGGAAAGCCAUCUCACUGAGGUCAGAUUGAUUUAGACAAACAAAGAUACUAUGUACCUGUCAUUCUGCCGUGCUCCAUCAUAUGCACGUAAAGAUCCGCACCAGCUAGAUUAGAGGCAUAAGGACGAGGAGCUCCAUGAGUAUUUCCGCGGUACUUUCCUGCAGGAAUGUGGAAAAAGCGCAUUCAGCCUCAUUAGCGCCUGGACCAAACUAUGUAGAUCAUGAAACAACACUUACACCAAAUUGCCCCCCAAACCUGAAAUACAUCCUGAGAUACAUCCUGUGUGCAAAAUGCGAUAAAUACCUCUAGCUGACUGCCGCUAAACAGUCCCUGAAGAGCUCCCGACGCAACCAGUCAGGAUUAUCACUUGCUGUCAUUUCAAGACCGGAAGCCAGCCACGAAUCUGAAACGAAGCUCCAGAGCAAGAAAUUGCAAUUUAAACCUGACGCACCUCCAUGCAUCGUAGCACAAGUUCUGGAAAGCAGCAACGACGGCAAAUAAAUCACGAAUGGAGCAUCCCGGCGUACACCAUCCGAGUGAAUAGAAAACGCAUCCAUUCGAAAAACUUCAGGAUGAAAAUGUGGAAGUUCUCCUGCAACAAAAGGAAAAAGAGAAGAAAUUAAUCCUGAUGUCCAGGGCGAAAAGUAAACCUUCAAUGACAAAAAUCCACCAUCACUUGUUACAAGUGAUUCAAUGCCUUCCCCUUCAAGAGCCGCACAUUUGAGCUCUAUAUCCAGUAACAUAUUGCUCUGAGGAUUGACAGCCACAUUCACCUGUUUCACUCAAGUCGUAAGGUUACAAAAAACGCCAGAUAGAAGUUCUCUUUACCGUUAAGUUGCGUUGAAUGGAAGCCAGCUCUCCCGAGCAAAAAUGCAAUGCGCUGUUCGGAGCAGUGCAAACUGUAGGAUCUGGAGCAAAUCAAGGAUCCGAUGAUCUCCAAAAAACGACAGUGGAAAAUAGUUCCACGGAUUGGAAGGCUUCAUCGUUGGUGAGAAGCCACUUUCAUUCGCUACCUGAAAACGAAAAUGUGAAAACAAAAUAGGAAGAAGCAAAAUAAGAUAGCUUACUGUGAAGAAAAGCAGUAGCUGUGUCAAGAGCUUGUUUUGCAGUAGCAAAGGACCUUGCUCUUUCUUCAGGUGAAAUGCAGUUCUCAAUUGUUGAUAGCCAGCUUCGAUAAUGUGCGUCACAAGAAAAGUAUUCUUGCUGAAAAAACGAAGUCCCGGGAAAAAAAAAUACAAAAAACAAAAACAGGCAGCAACGUUCUUUUUUUUAAUGGCUCUGCUUUCUCCUUCCGAAAUCUCAACACUGCACCAUAGCGGCGUUAGCGAGAUCUCUCGGAAAACCAAACGCUGUUGGAAUUCUGCCAUACAACGGGAGGCUGCCGCAGCUCCAUCAUAUCCACGUAAAGAUCUGAGAGGGAUGAGGGCCAACGAGCUCUUCCUUGUGUUGCGUGAAUACAAACCUCACGUACCUAAAAGAAUAACAUAAACAAUAAGUGGAAGUGAAAUCGAUCAUACGUGCUCAGGAUUCAAUCUCCAGCCAAUUCAAGCCUGUCCCCGUAUUGUCCUUCAAUCCUUCCGCAGAACCAGAUGUGCGGCGAAACGAAUCAUUUGAGGAUGCCUGUGUGGCCUGAGAGAAACUCAGCUUAACGCACAAUGAUCAAAGCCUACGUACUUGACGUUAGAAUUGUCGUCUACAUUUCCAAUACCGGUGCUAUAUCAGAGACCACGAGGUGCAUCUGUCCAACACAACAGCUGCGUCUCACAACCAGAUUCCCAAGUCACGAUGAAACAAAAUGUGUACCCAGAGUAGAGCUUUUGAAACAAGUUGAUAAAAUCACAAGGCAACAGGCUCGGCACAAGUGGAAGAUAAAUCGAUCGCGCUUAAAAGAUGGCGGUGAGAAAGCUCUCCAUGACCUUACAAGAGCGAACACGUUGGCUUUUUUUCAGAUUAGAAUCACAGCACAAUACCUCGCAGUUGGCGUCAACACAUGUGUUUUACAUUGCAGCAAAAACGGGACUCUCGUAUCUCCCCCCCUUCACUUGACGCUAUUUUCUGGAACACCUUGUUUGGAAACACAAACACAAGUUCAAGCCCAUACCUCGGAAGCACAAAAGCAAGCCCACUUCCAUAUCCUCCUUCCUCCAUCAAGCCCUGUAGCGUCUAAAGGAAUGAGCAGUCAUGCAGCCAGCUCUCCACGCCUGAUAGUGCAAGAUAGCUGUGUCAUUAAUUCAAGAAAAUAAGAAACUGGUUUUUGCUCGAGAAUCACCAGGAGCUUGGAUUUGAGCAGCGCGAGUGCUUUAUCUUGUUUUGAAGUUGGCUUCUCUACUCUAGUAUCACAAGAAAAACAAAGAAAGUUUUAGAACACUGCUUGCUGAAGAAAUUCUAGAAACAUUUGUUUCAUGUACCUGAGCAACGAAGAGUAAUCCCUGUUGGACACAGGUCCUGCGCUUCUGCGUUUCUUCCAGCUCGGAUGAGAUUCCGCACAUCUCUAAAAGAUUAUGUUCCAGUUUCUGCGACAAAUACGAUACACGUAAGAAGACCCGUAAGAGCGUAGUACCUGAUCUUCGGGAUGCAACCUGGAGUUGGAGCAUCAAGAUCCAAAUGUCGAACAUAGUGAGUUCCGAUAUUUUUUUUGAUAGCCCGUGUUAUCGCACGAGCCUAGCUUCUGAGGGUAUAGGCCCGCCUUCCUGUAGCGAUAACAUUUGUAGACACGAAUAUACUCCAUGCAAGAGUUUUACCUUUUUUUCUAAAUCCAAUUCCUUGGACGCCAAACUCUCGAGACAAGACAAAGACAAGUCUGAUCGUUUCCUGUAAACCCGGACUGCGCUUUCAAAAAACAAUAAAGUCAGUCCCACUGAAACGUAAUAAGCGAUGCUACCUUUUCCAUACAAAUGCCAAUGAAAAACCCAUGAUGAAGACUCGGAAGUUUGCAAUUGAGCCUUCUGACGUAGCCCUGUCUUUUACAGCUCGAUGGCUGCCUCGUCUCUGUAAAGAAAAAGCCGCUAAACUUCCAGUCGUCCUCAACAAAUCGUUUCAUUUCCGCUAGAUCCCGGCCAAACUCGCUCAAGAGCUCGGGCAGAGACGUGAUGCCUGUCAAAGAAAAACAUAAGCCGAGUUGUAUGGCUUGAGAAACAAAAGUGGUAAACCGGGUUACACCAGAAGCAAAGCGCUCAAAUGAAUCUUAUCUGGUUCCUAGAGACCAGAUACGGGUGAAAAGAGAGAACUUAGCACCAAAAACCGAAACCACACCUCUUUGAUUCGUGGAGCAGCAAAUGGGGACUCUUGGGCUCUUCAGGAAAGCUAGGAAUCUUUGGCUCGGGACGCAUUUCACCAGCAUUCUCACAGGAAGAAGAGAGAACGAGAAAAACAUACCUGUAUCGCCGGCAAUGCCACCAAAAACCCUCUUUACAAGUAAAAAUCUCAUGGUUUUGAGCGUCUGGUUAGUUAAGCCAGUAAGAGCGCGUCUGGUUAGGCUAACAAGAGCUGUUAGCGGCCGGAUCGGAAUGUCCACGAUCCACCGGCUGGUGCCGGUUCAAACGCAAAAUCUCACUUACAGAAGGCUCUUCAAAUAACUUAAUACUUAUUCAAUGUUUCACUAUUUUACUGUUAUUUUCCAAAAACCCAGAAAAUAUACUUGACCUGUUUGAUAAUAUUAUUGUUUUAGAUUGCCCUUCAAACGUAUUCAAACGUUUUUGCUGCUCAGUGUGGCAAUGUAAACCACAUGUGUUGACGCCAACUGCGAGGUAUUGUGCUGUGAUUCUAAUCUGAAAAAAACCAACGUGUUCGCUCUUGUAAGGUCAUCUUUUAAGCGCGAUCGAUUCAUCUUCCACUUCUGCCGAGGACGCUUGUCAAGUCUUUGAUGUUUUUCUGGCUCCAUGUAUGCCAAUGCUCUUAGGCAAGUCCGAGCUGAGAGCUAGCAAGACAAACAAGAAUAAGAGAACAAUUAACUUGUCUCCACUCGCAAGUAAAUUUCAAAGCAAUUGAUCCAGCAAAUAUGGAUGUCCGGUGUCUGGAUUAUCAACAAAGACACAAGAAAGUUAUAAGAGUUUCUAGCAAUAAUUCUUUUACCUGCACUAACAUCUAUCAAAUGGUGACUGGAGGAUGCAUCCAUCCUCUAGCAUUUCCUGGUAGCGUCAACCAGUGACCUGCAAAGAUGGCUCACCACCUCUAACGUUUAUGCCUUUACUCUUUGAGGAAGUACAAAGCAGUACCUGGCUCGCUCACAUUGAUUCCAACACCAUUGACUUCUUUUACCUCGUACUGACAAGUGCCUCAUGGAACACAAUAAGCUCGAGGUGAAUCCAUGAGACUGUCCGAGUGUAACUUUCGGUUCAAAGCGAAUAGCUCUCAGCCUCAUCAUCCACAUCCUUUUCUUGUUAUUUAUAGGAUUACAUAUUAGGGCUUGAUAGUAUGGAGAUUACUAGUACGAGUGUUCCAUUGUGGUGGUUCUUCUUACCUGUUUCAAUUAUUAUGACUUGGGCAAUUAGUUUUUAUGUUUUCACCAUCUAUAUCACAUUUUAUCCUCCAAAGUGGAAUUGCCCAAAUGGUGUUCUUUAUUGUCAAAGAGACUGCAAUGCACUAAGCCCUAGCUACCAUUGGGGCUUUACAUCAUAUUACGUGGCCUAUGCAAAAAUUGGGCCAAAAUACUCUGCCAUAAGAUAUUGGCAACUUGUUUGCUUCACUCGUCAUGUAUAUAUAUUUCUAUCAGUAGGCUAUAUUAUUGGAGGUAAUAUUAGAACAGUUGUAUAAAAUACUAUUGCUAAACUGAUUUUACAGUUAUUAUUGGAAUCGUUACUCUCUUCCACUACAGGUGCUCUAUGCUGGUUAGUAUUUUUAUUGGAGCAGCUAGUGCAUUAGCCAGCACAUAUGUCUCAAAUCGCUCCUGGUUUAUUAUUUGGCAAGUUUUGUCUGCAAUAGCACAUUCUUGUGCAGGAACAUCAGCUGUAAUGAGAUGGUUCAUGGAAACACCCUGUUUUAUUAGUUGGAAAAGAUGGCUUUUUCCAAAUCAUGGAUUUGCCGACUGUCAGAGGGAAGAUGACAACGUUAUAUGUGAAGUAAUUGGUACAUAUCCUAUAGGUUCUCUUUGUGUGCCAAGUUGCAUACCUAUCACUUUUGUGUGUAGACAUUUAUAUCCAGACUGGAGGUGGGGAAAUAGGAUGGUGUGUGUCAUGGACUCUAUUGUUGUUGUGGUGUUAGUGGGGGAAAUGUUAGGACGAGUUUUGAUGAACAAAAGAAACAGUGGGAGAGUAGCAAAUGUUUCCAAUUAAGUGUGUAAUAUUAAAGUGAUCAAGAGAACUUUGGGAUGGUUGAAACUAGAAUUCAUGUGCUGCCACAGAUAAUGCGAGUAUUCAGAGAGUGUGGGUUUUUUAAUAUAUAGCAGCAUAGACUUCUGUGGUGACAUUACGACUUUGCCAGUCAUACAAGAGAGAGAGAGAGAGAGAGAGAGAGAGAGAGAGAUUUAUACCUCGGAAUAUCAACUUAGACUGUUUCAUUAUGCUAAUGCGUUUUUCCAAUUAUUAUUAGAGUUAUUAUUACUCUCUUACACUGUUUGCUGGUUAGUAUUUUUAUUGGAGUACAUUAGCAAGCAUAUAUGUCUCAAAUAUGGUUUAUCAUUUUGUCUGCAACAGCACAUUCUUGUGAAGGAAGAUCAGCCAUAAUGAGGUUGUUCAUAGAAGCACCUUGUUUUCUUUUCCAAAUCAUAGGUUUGCAGGUGCCCAGGGGAUGAUCACAACAAUAUAUGUGAAGUGAUUGGUGGAUAUGCUAUGGUUUCUUUAUGCGAGCCAGGUUGCAUACCUUGUGUAGACGUCUAGGAUGGUCUGCGUUGUGUGGUGUUAAUGAACAAAAGAUAUAUUGCAAUCCACAAUGUUCCCGAUCCUCUUCUUUAAUUCACACUUACUGUUGAAGUGUCGCUUUGAGGAUCCAAAAACACAGAAUUUUGGUCCUGAACAAGCGAAUCGAUUUGCUUUCUGAAGGUAAACUUAAGAAAGUGCCGACUGAAGAACGCACCGCUUAUAGGUCCCUCAAAAGAAAAAGAGAAAAAAGGCAUUUGAAACACAUAAAAUCUUACGGCUGUGGAAGCUUGACAGGGCACAGGGCAUUCAGCAUGCUGUGCAGCAUAGUCACUCACGCUUCCCAGGAACGUCCUGUCCAAAUCCACGGUUUGAGGAAUGCAAACUAGAGCUUUUUGGCGAACCUUUUCACCAUUCCAAUGCCUCGGCUUCCCAGUAUUAACAUUGUUGGAGGCCACUCGUUGACAGCUUCUAGCAGCUUUUCUUGGGCAUCCCCUUUCUUGGAUACAAUCAGUUUUGUAGAAAAAGAAAUCAUGAGCUAGUCAAAAGUUUAUCACAAAGUACCUUAACGGGACUCACUCGACGCUAUUUUCUGGAACACCUUGUUUGGAAACACAAACACAAGUUCAAGUCCAUACCUCGGAAGCACAAAAGCAAGCCCACUUCCAUAUCCUCCUUCCUCCAUCAAGCUCUGUAGCGUCUAAAGCGCGCUCGUUGAAUGAGCAGUCAUGCAGCCAGCUCUCCACGCCUGAUAAUGAAAGAUAGCUGUGUCAUUAAUUCAAGAAAAUAAGCAACUGGGUUUUGCUCGGGAAUCACCAGGAGCUUGGAUUUGAGCAGUGCGAGUGCUUUAUCUUGUUUUGAAGUUGGCUUCUCUCCUCUAGUAUCACAAGAAAAACGAAAAAAGUUUUAGAACACUGCUUGCUUAAGAUGUCUAGAAACAUUUGUUUCAUGUAGCUGAGCAACGAAGAGCAAUCCCUGUUGGACACAGGUCCUGCGCCUCUGCGUUUCUUCCAGCUCGGAUGAGAUUCCGCACAUCUCUCAAAGAUUAUGUUCCAGUUUCUGCGAUAAAUACGAUACACGUAAGAAGAGGACCCCGUAAGAGCGUAGUACCUGAUCUUCGGGAUGCAACCUGGAGUUGGAGCAUCAGGAUCCAAAUGUCGAACAUAGUGAGUUCCGAUAUUUUUUUGAUAGCCCGUGUUAUCCCACGAGCCUAGCUUCUGAGUGUAUAGGCCCGCCUUCCUGUAGCGAUAACAUUUGUAAACACGAAUAUACUCCAUGCAAGAGUUUUACCUUCUUUUCUAAAUUCAAUUCCUUUAGACGCCAGACUCUCGAGACAAGACAAAGACAAGUGUAAACCCGGACUGCGCUUUCAAAAAACAAUAAAGUCAGUCCCGUUGAAACGUAAUAAGCGAUGCUACCUUUUCCAUACAAAUGCCAAUGAAGAACCCAUGGUGAAGACUCGGAAGUUUGCAAUUGAGCCUUCUGAUGGAGCCCUGUCUUUUACAGCUCGAUGCUUCUCAGCUGCCUCGUCUCCGUAAAGAAAAAGCCGCUCAACUUCCAGUCGUCCUCAACAAAUCGUUUCACCUGACUGCCUCCGCUAGAUCCCGGCCAAACUCGCUCAAGGGCUUGGGCAGAGACGUGAAGCCUGUCAAAGAAAAACGUAAGUUGAGUUGUAUAGCUUGAGAAACAAAAGUGGUAAACCGGGUUACACCAGAAGCAAAGCGCUCAAAUGAAUCUUAUCUGGUUCCUAGAGACCAGAUACGGGUGAAAAGAGAGAACUUAGCACCAAAAACCAAAACCACACCUCUUUGAUUCGUGGAGCAGCAAAUGGGGACUCUUGGGCUCUUCAGGAAAGCUAGGAAUCUUUGGCUCGGGACGCAUUUCACCAGCAUUCUCACAGGAAGAAGAGAGAACGAGAAAAACAUACCUGUAUCGCCGGCAAUGCCACCAAAAACCCUCUUUACAAGUAAAAAUCUCAUGGUUUUGAGCGUCUGGUUAGUUAAGCCAGUAAGAGCGCGUCUGGUUAGGCUAACAAGAGCUGUUAGCGGCCGGAUCGGAAUGUCCACCUCCAACUUUACGAUCCACUGCCGUUCAAACGCACUUCCACAAAUCAAAUAAUUAAUAAGUUCCGCUAUUUUACUGUUAUUUUCCAAAAUACGUUUGAAGGGCAACAAUAAAUAAUUUAUAUAAUCAAACAGGGCAAAACCACUUUUCUGGGCUUAUAAGCUAAAUCAAACUUUUUUCUUGGGAUUGGAACUCGGAGCAAGAUGCUUGCUAUUAGAAUUACUUUAGAAGCUCUUGUCUAUACACUUAUCUACAUGUAAGCAGCUAUAAAAUUACAAUUAACUGGAAUUGUCACUAGAAAUAAUCAAGUUUAUAAAUCUACGCAUAAAUUAUAAAUCUAUAAUAUCAAUUUUUCAUAACUUAGACUGUUUUAUUAUUUGUAUAGAAAUUACUAAUGUGUUUUCCAAUUAUUAUUGGAGUUAUUAACUCUAGGUGCUGUAUGCUGGUUAGUAGAAUAGUUAGUACAUUAGCAAGCAUAUACAUCUCAAAUCACUCAUGGUUUAUCAUUUUGUUUACAACAGCACAUUCUUGUGAAGGAAGAUCAUCUAUAAUGAGGUGGUUCAUAAAAGCACUUUGUUUUCUUGGCUACCAACGAUGGCUUUUUCCAAAUCAUGGGUUUUCAGGCGACAAUAUAUAUGUAUAAGGUGAUUGGUGGGCGUUCUCGCGCAGCACAGCCUGAUCGGAGAGGCGCAAGAGAUUUACGAGAGCAUGCCCGAGUGUGAUCUCAUGGAUAUCCUAUGAUUUCUUUAUGCAAGCUAGGUUGCAUAUUUUUUGUAGACGAUGCCACAAUAGCCAUAUGGACGUGGGAACAGAGGGGGAGAGUACGGAGGAUAUAUUACUGUCUUUAUCUCUCUGCAGUCCUUCCUCACCGUUCUCACGCUCACAUCUCCCCAUCCCAUGCUCGCGAGUAGCUCGGAUUCUUGCAAACUAAGCCAAGUAUGUUGAGUUAAAUAGACAUUUAUUCCUUCUUUAUGCUUGUGCAGUAAAAUACAGAUGUGAAGUCUAAUUUAGUAACACUUAACAAAAAACAAUAUCAAAGUUGAUCUUUUGCGAUGCAGUUUUAAAAGCAUCUUUUUUUUUUCUUCCUUGUUUUUCUUGAGGACCGAGCUAAUAGUGUUUUGAAAACCUCGAUCAGUUUUUGUUCCUCAUUCGUUUGCUUUCCUUCAUGCAGACGUUCCAAAGUUCUCACAAUCGAUCUUCAACACAAACCCAUGGUAAAUGUCGAUGUUAAAGGGAAAUCCAUCUUUAGGUAGCUGUUUGUGAACUUGAACACGUAUGGACAGGGGAACAGAGGGAAAGAGUACGGAGGAUAUAUUACUAUCUUUCUCAUCUUAUCUCUCUGCAGUCCUUUCCUCACCGCUCUCACGCUCACAUAUCCCCAUCUCAUGCUCGGCGAGUAGCUGGAGCUUUCCCUCGGAUCUCUUUUCCCUAUCCCUUGCUCGAUAACAGUGGUAUCGUAGCCACUUCGUCUGGGACACACGCUCGAGCGUCGUGAAGGAGACCAGUCGUUGGAGGUCGGCUAUCAGGUAAAGCGGCCGGAAUGUUUCGUUUCGCUUUCACAGUUUUUGGUGACCGAUCUUCUCUGGACUGGUCGUGGAUAAAGGGAGGGAGGGGAUUUGUUCUUCCUGGGCAAUGGCGGCACCAUAGAGGCGGCCGAAGGCGGCGAUUUCAGGGGAUUUACCAAGGUUUAGUCUUGAUGUUUUCGCAGCACAAGAGAAGAUGAUAAGGUGCCUAUCCGAUCGGCAGGAAGAUCUAGACGACAGCUUGCGGGUCUUAGGAGCUGCAGUGACCAGGCCGAUGGGGGACUCCGGAAAGAGGAGGGAGUUAGGCGCCGACCUUUCGAGUUCCAAGUACCACCAUUCAGCGGGAGCACGGUAGGGGAGUAAGCCUUCGCUUUUGGGACAACAGCUUCAGAGUUUCCUAUGGGAGCAGUUCUCCAACAGGUCGACGGUCAGCGAGCCGAUACAAAGUAUCGUUUAGCACCCAUGCAGACUCAGGGAUUCUUCACAGCGGCGCCAGCUUUCAGCGGGAUAAGGGCCGGUUCAAGAGCGGGAGUUUCCGUGUAAUGGUCCUUUCCGGAGAGGCAGAGUGGGCAGGACAACGUGGGGCGGGUGGGGGAAUCCAUUCCAAUCCACGAGAACUAGUAGGGAGUCUGGACCCUCUCGGGCUGGGUGGAGUGCGUGGGACUCAUGGCUGCGCAAGUUGAAGAGGUGGUUUCUAUACCGUGGUCAUCGCGAUUCGCACAAGGUAGCCGGCUCUCCACUUGAAAGCCUGGCCUCCGAGUCCCUUCUCUCUCGAGACUGUAAAACCAGGCUUCCAAGUUGGGAGGAGUUCAAGCAAAGGAUUCGGGAGCAUUUUAUCAUCACGUCCGUGGGAGAGCUUCCCUUCAACAAACUCUGCGGAAUGGUGUACAGAUUUAAGUCCCAGACGCCCAGGAAUUCAACGAGACGUGGCUUAAGGCGAGAUACGAGGUGACCAACAUCCCGGAGGAUGCUUUGAUGCAACGUUAUGGCAACCGAAAUAGCUCAGCUAUCUCCUCGCUCGGUCCAGCAAGCGAUGGGAUUAGCAUUAAACACGGAUCUCAAGUUCCACGAGUGGGAAGCUCGUCUUUCCGGCCGAUGGAGGCAAGGGCCACCAAAGGAGACAACGAGGGCCGGAGCCACCCAGAGUGGUAUGCCAACUCCCGAUCAGCGGAAGCAAUGCAAGUAAAGGGAAGCGAUGACCUCAAGCUUGGGAAAUGUUCAUUGGGAAGUUUGCAAGGCUCCGUGCACUUGGGAGAAUGCAAAAGACAAGGAUAUCUUAGUCCUGUAGACGGAUGUACCACAUUGGCCUCAGAAGCAGCGAGAAGAGGCGGACGCGGGGCUUGAGGGAGAACUUUCUGUGGCGAAGGCAUGCAUCUCCUAUCCGGCCUUUAUGGGAAAAGCUGCGGGUACUUGUUUCGGAGUCAAAGGAACGAUUAGCAGGAAGCAUUCGCAUUAAUUGACUCGUGAGUGCCACCGUCAACCAACAUUCUCUAUCUAAGCUGCAGCUCGCAGCGCGUCCACAGAAGACUCCUCUAGAGGUGGAGAUAGCGGACGAGGGAGUCAUCGAGGCGUCUGCCCGGGUCUCAUGCUCGAUGCUCAUUGGUGGUCACCAAGUGAAAGGAGAGUUCUUCAUCCUGGGCAUCAAAACACUUCGCCUCUUUUGGGGACAUUCUCGUCAACUUUGAUGAGCAUCGUCUCUCCUUCAAUCACCAGGGGAGGAAGAUCGUCUGGAGGGGGGAGUGGACAUUGGAAAGAAGACACGGGCAACCGCUGGACAAUGCCGGGGGUUGAUCGCGAGAGGAGGAUGUCCCAUGGCGUAUGAUUCAGAAACAGGGAUUCUUCUUCCAAUGGAUGGGAACCCGAAGAGAUCCUUUCGAAACGACAUCUUCAGCUUUCUCAGGCCUAGCUGCAAGGUCCAACCAUGUACCAAGUUCCGACUUCUCCAGUCACAGGGGAGGGGAACCAGAGAGAACCAGGUCGUUGGAGGAAGCAGUACACCACGGAAGCCAUUCGUGAGGUGGCAAGGAAGUAUUCAAGGGUCUUCCUCAACCGAGUUUGUGCUCAUGAAGCAAUCACGCACAAGAUCCAACUCGAGAAAGGGAUCGUCACGACUGUUCAUUCAGCUGAGCCAUGUAGAGCGAGGUGGAUAAGAUGAUCAAGGAGCUCAUGGACAAUCUCUUAAAGAGGACAGUUUCAGUCCUUACACGGCACCAAUAAUCUUGGUGCUAAAACGUGACGGCUCGUGGAGACUGUGCGUUGAUUACAGACAGCUCAACAACGUCACUCCCCAUCCCAACUUAAUUGAUGGACUCGGUGAAGCAGCUAUUUCUCCGAGCUAGAUUUGCGAUCUGCAUAUUAUAAAAUAUCCAUGGCAGAGAAGGACAGGAUGAAGACAGCAUUUCAGACUCACAGAGGGGUUUUACCAGUUUAAGGUGAGGGCUCACCAUCCUUUUCAGUCUCUCAUGAACAAGAUCGGUCAUUGUAUUUUUCGACGACAUCCUCGUCUACAGUCGAUCCUGGGAAGAACACCUUACACACAUCGACGAGGUUUUGCAAGUGCUAGAGGAUCAUGCGCUGAUCGUCAAACUCUCAAAAUGCUGCUUUGCCAAGCAAGAAGAGAAGUACUUAGGCUUCCGGAUAACAAAAAUGGAGGCGAUGAGUGGUCUCUCACCACCAUGAAGUAGCUCCAUGUAUUUCUCAGGCUCUGCAACUACCUCUGGAAGUCUGUGGAGCACUAUGCUUCCGUUGCGUCGCCUCUGACGGACAUCAUUCGUGCAGGCAGGUUUUCGUGGGACGAGAAUGCACGGUACGUUCGAACUUUUCGGCUCCGAUUCUUCAACUUUCAGACUUUGAGAAGCAGUUCAUCGUGGAGACGAUGCCUCGGAUGCAGGAGUGGGAGCGAUCUUGAAGUUCGAGAGCAAAAGGUUCUUGGAAGCGGAGUCUCGCCAGCCGGCGUAUGAUUGACAAAGUGGAGGCACUGCGAGGUCGCACGGAUCACUUCAGUAUGAAAUUUCUUCUCGAGCAGCCUCGCCUUAACAAAAAGCAGAGGCAGCUUCAAUCACUCGAUUUCACGAUUGAGUAUAAGCCAGGGAAAACAAACGUCGUCCCUGAUGCGCUCUCAAGGAUGUUUGAAAAGCCGGAGGUCAGUUGUCACACCAGAAAUCAUAAAGGGCUAAUCCAACGAUGACCAGACAACAACUUCAACGACGCGAAGAUUUCCUUCCAUGACGGCUUGCUCUAGAAGAAAGGAAGGAUUCUGCAAGAUCAUCUUCACCAAGGCAUUCUCGCGGGGCAUCCGGGGGUCGUGUGGAAAGGAAUGGAGUGUGAGAUACGCACUUGGAUCAGGGAGUGUCCAGAGAUAGUCGCAACACCUUGUCUUCUCAAGCAUUUACCUUCUCCAUCAGCGCAGCUCUCGUCCUCAGCUUCAAAGAAGGUGGUAGAGAUCUUCUGGAGGGAGGUGGUGAGGUUCCAUGGCGUUCCAAGCGAAAUCGUCUCCAACCGAGACACCAGGUUUCUCAGCCAGUUUUGAAAAGACCUUUUCACAACGUUACUGAGCUUCAGCACCGCCUACCAUCCCCAGACAGAUGGUCAGACGGGACGGACGAUUGGAGACAUUGGGGAUACGUGCGGACCAGCUGGGCACACUCGCGGAGUUUGCCUACAACACUGCUCGGCACUCAACCAUCGGUAUGUCUCCAUACCAGUAGCUUCCCCGAUCUUGAUGACAACUCCCACUUCAUCAAACGACGUCAGUGACCAAGUGGAAGCCAUCAGGAAGAUGCAGCAGCUGAUUGGGCAACGGUUGGAAUCUCCUCGUGUAGUCACAGCUCCAUCCCAGAUUCUUCGGCACACUCAGGAUACUCGAAAAGAUCAACGAGCUCGCCUAUAAGUUGGCAUUACCACCGGGGUCGCACCUACAUAACGUUUUCGACGUGUCGGAUCUCAAGCUUUUGCGGACCAGCUCCCGGAGUUUUUUCCUGCGCCGGAGUUUGUCUCCUCCGACAGGCAGCCUAUGCUGCAACCGAAAGCACACUGGGAGAUACAAGGUCAGGUGGCACGGAACGGAUGACGAACAGGAACGGACCAGAGCUCCUCGAAACAGACCUGUUAGGACGUACUAUAACGCAUGAGAGUACGGAGGAUUUAUUACCAUCUUCCUCGUCUCAUCUCUUCUUUCACAUCUUACCUUCUCUCCCCACAUCCAUCAGUUUAAGGAAUUUAAGCACUGUCGGGA
RNAcentral lists this long non-coding RNA (60253 nucleotides) under Selaginella moellendorffii. RNAcentral describes it as "long non-coding RNA (SMOE_LNC001797)". The record is from RNAcentral. Lineage: Eukaryota; Viridiplantae; Streptophyta; Lycopodiopsida; Selaginellales; Selaginellaceae.